This 56281-nucleotide long non-coding RNA is filed under the name Vitis vinifera (wine grape). RNAcentral's name for it is "long non-coding RNA (VVIN_LNC006642)". The record is from RNAcentral. Lineage: Eukaryota; Viridiplantae; Streptophyta; Magnoliopsida; Vitales; Vitaceae.
AGCUCUAUGAACUUGGAAGGAAGAUAUGGUCAACCAAAGGAGAAGAGCAGGAAACAGCCAAGAAGGAAUUCAUAGAGUGCCUCAAGCUUCUGGAAGGAGAGCUUGGAGAGAAGCCUUACUUCGGCGGUGAAAAAAUUGGGUUUGUGGAUGUGGCUCUGGUGACCUUCUCUUGCUGGUUUCAUGCAUAUGAGAGCUUUGGAAACUUCAGCAUAGAGGCGGAGUGUCCCAAGUUGAUAGCUUGGACCAAGAGGUGCAUGGAAAAGGAGAGCGUGUCGUCUUCUCUGGAAGACCCACACAAGGUCCAUGGCUUUGUUAUGGGGAUGAGAAAGAAGCUUGGCAUAGAAUAACUAUUUUGUAGUGUUGCUGUGGUAAUAUUAGAUAUAUGUGAGUGUUUGGCUGUUUGCUUAAGUUUUUGCUUUGAAAUUGUAUGGUUACUAUUUGCAGUUGAAACCCCUUUUGGAGGGUUGGUGGGUUUGCUGGAAAGAAAUGUUUUGAAUUUGUUUUCAUUUGUUUUGGACUGGACUAGAGAGGUGUUCUUUGUAUUCCAUCAUUUCGUGUCAUAAACAAGUAUUAACACAAGUUGGAUAAGGCAUGCCUCUGGCCCUUUAUGGUAACGUACAAAGAUAUCAUGGGCCUACAAAGAUAUCAUGGGCUACAGAAUAGGUUAGGGCCCGCUUUUUAAAUCACUUUUUUUAACUAAUAUGUUUGGCAAAAGAUGUUCUUCAAUAAUUUAAUUCAUCUUCCUUGUCGGUCAUUUUAAGUAACAAGAAAAUGAAAAAGAAAUAAGAGAAAAGUUCAAUCACGUUCCAUAAUGUUUGUUUUUGAAAAUUGCUUUUAUGUUAAACAAACAAAAAUAAUUUUUUAAAAUUUUAUAAAAUUUUAUAAAAUAAGGAUGUUUGACAAGUUAUUUUGAAAUUGGUUUUUCUUUUAAAAAAAAAUAAUUUUUCUAUGUUGAUUUUGUAAAAAUAUUCUAAAUUUAAUUAAUAGAAAUUUAAUUGAGGUCUUAUAAAAAAUGAAAUUAGUUUUAAAUUAUAAAUAAAUUAAAAAUAGUAUAAUAUAUCAGCGUGGACCUAUUUUUUUUACGUGCGUCCUCACUCGACGAUGAGACUCGUUUUUUAUUUAUUUGGUGAAAAAUAUGAUUUUUAGAAAAAGAUUUGAAGUCCUCAUUGAUUUUUGUUUUAUUUUUCAAGGGAAAGACAAAAUAAAAAAUAAAAACCCUAAAUAUGAUUUCUGAAGGAAAAAUAGGUUUGUGAAAAAUCGAGUUUGGGUUUGGGGAUCAAGUUACUUAUUAGGAAGGUAUGGUAAUGAGUUAUAACACCCCUCUAAGCUCGUUUAUGUACGACCUCUACUAAAUGAAUUAAGGAAAUUGUGACAAUUAAUUAAUUAAUUAUAGAUACCAAGAAAAAUAAUCAUGUAAAUGAGUAUGUACAAGUCAAGGUGAAAAUUAAUAUACACAAAAAUAAUGAUGAAAUCUAAUUACAAGAAUACACAAAAUAAAUAACAAAAGAAUUAUGCAAAAAUAAUUUAUUGAACUAAAUAAAAAAUAUUAAAAAAAUAGUUUUCAAGAAAUUUCGAAGGAUUUUAUUAAAAAUGAUUUUUAAUUAAUGAUUUUAAUUUUUUUUAUUUACAAAAAAGAAGUUUCAAUUUAUUUUCAAUUAAUGAUUUGAUUCAAUUUCAUUUGUAUUUAAUUUUUUUUAAAAAAAAAGUUAUUUGCACUUAUUAUAUCAAAAGAAUUUAUUACAAAAUUUCAAUUUGGUAAUAAAAAUGAUUUUUACUUGCUUUUACAAAAAAAAUUACAAUUUUAUUUACGAAAGUAUUUCACUUUGUUUUAAUUUGAGAAAAGUGACUUAUACAAAUUAUUAAAAAGAAUAUAACUUUAUUUGCAAAAGAAUUUUUAAUUAAAAAUUAAUUUUUGGGACAACUUUAUUUACAAAAUAAUGUUUGGACAAUUUUUAUUAAACAAAUAAAUUUUUGGACAAUUAUUAUUAAAAAUAAUUUUUCAAAUUCUAUUAAAAACAAUUUUUUUGGAUUUUUCUAAAAGCAUUUUUUUGAAUUUUUAUUAAUAAAAAAAACUUUCUUUUAUUAAAAAGAAUAUUUUAAAAUUAUUAUUUUAUUAGAAUAUAUUUACUAAAUUAUUCCUCUUAUUUAAAUGACAAUUUUGAUUUGUUAAAUAUUUAAUUCUGUAUAUACUCAAUAAAUAUAUACAAACUAAUAUUUACAAGAACUAAUAGAAAUAAAAUCAAACAGAAGUGAGCAAUAAAACGUGUACCCAAAUAAGGUUACAACAAGCUUAAUGUCUCUCUACAACUUUUUUAUUCUUACUUUCUUCCAUGAAAUUUUGUGCUUCACGUGUUAUAAAUUUGUACUCAGCCAAUAGAAUUGCAGAAUAGGCCCAUGCAAAAACAAAAAUAGUUCAAAUGUAAAUAUCCAAAGGUGUACAAAAUCCUUAACAAAUAUUCAAACUCAAAUUCAAAUUUCAAAUUAGUUCGAUAAAUCUUGUCAAUCAAAAUGGACACAAAUUAACAAAUAUAACCUAACAAAAACAUCUCACAUGCUAUAAACCUUAAUCCAAAAAUUUCAAAUUAAUAACCAAAAUACAACACAAUUAGCCAAGCCCAAAAUAUCACAAAAUAAAAUAAAUUCAAUUAGGCCUAAAUUUAAUAUUUCAUAAUCCAAGCCUAAUUUAAUAUACACCAUAAUUGUCCCACAUCCAAAUUAAAUAGUUCAAAUUGGUGAAGCUCAUAUCAAAUAUUCAAGUCAUCAAUCAAAUUUCACCCACAUUGUGGACCCAAAAUCCAUACCUAUAUUAUGGGUCCAAAAUUCAUAUCAAUUAACAAGCCCACAUUAAUAAUACACAUGACCAAAGAAAAUAAUUUCCCAAGCCCAAUCCAAUAAGCCCAAAUAAAUAACAUUAGAUUCAAGUCAAAAUCAAUUACUAUGCAAACAAAAAUAAAAAAAUAAAGAUAAAAAAAUGAAAAUAAAAUAAAGUAAAAAGGAAAUUUACCCUUUUUUUUUAUAACUAUGGGUGGUAGGAUUGCUAGUCGGCAGUGACUGGCAGGUAAUGGCGGGUGGUGGCGGGCAGUGGUUGUCGGUAGUGGUGGGUGGUGGUUGGCCGGUAGUGGCCGUGGAGUGUGGGGAAGGGAAAAGGAAAGAAAAAGGAAGAGAAAAAAAAAUGAAGGAAGAUGGGGAGCGUGUGACAGUGGGGGUUUGUGGAAAAUGGCAGUGUAGAGAGAAGGACUAUGAGAAGAAGAAAAAAAAAAUGGAAGAGAAAAUGGGGACCAUCGUGUGUGAUAGUUGGGGGGAAGAAAAAAAAAAGAAAAAAGGAAGGGAGGAGAUGGGAGAGUUGACCGUGUUUGGUGUGUGGGUCGUGGAGCGGUUGUUGUGUUGGAAGGGAGCCUGAAGAAGAAAUGAUGGAGGAAAAAAAAGUGAAGAGAGGAACGUAGAGAAAGAUGAUAAAAAAAAAAAAAAAAAAAAAAAAACUUGGAGGGGGUAUGGGGAGUGGCUUAGACAUGUAGGAGAAGGAAAUGGGUAAGGGAAGUAGGUGGAGUGGGUAGAAUGAGGGGAAAGAGGAAGAGAGAAGAGAGAAGAGAGUGAAAAUAAAUAAAAUUAAAUUAAAAAUAAAAAUAUAAUAAUAAUAAUAAUAAUAAUAAUAAAUAAAUAAAUAAAUAAAUAAAAAUAAUAAUAAAAAUAAUAAUAAAAAUAAUUUAUAAAAUAAUAAAAACUAAGAAUUAAAGGGUGUAAGUGGGCUAAACAAUUAAGAUGUAAUCAAAAUUUAAAUCUAAGGAUAAAAUUGAGCUCAAUAUCAAUGUAAAAAUAAAAUUAGGACAAAUUUUGGGGUCUACAAUCGGUUUUCAUAUAUUAUUUCUUAUGGUGAUUAGAUCUAUUUACUAGGUUGUAACUUAAAAAAAAAAAAAAAAAACCUAUUAGUAAAUUCAAUGUUACUUGAUUUGAAGUUUAUUCUUUAAUAAAAAAAUUUAUAAAAAUAUAAGUAUGUAUAGAAAAAAAGUAGACUCAUUAAAACCCAAUUUUUAUCCAUAAAUUUUUAAUAUUAACCACUAUUUAAGUUUUAAGUUAUUUAAAAAAAUUACUAAACUCAUUAAUUAAUUUAAUGUAUUAAGUUUUGUUUAAUUUGGAUUUUAUUUGUCUAGUGAAAUAAAUAAAUAAAAAAUAUAGUUUCAUGUAGAAGAGAAACAAUAGAGUCAUUGUAGAUUAGAACUAGAAGUUAUAAAAAAUAUGUAAAAUAUAUAUAAUUAUAUAGCUGGAGUUUAUAUUAUAAAUUAUAAAGUUAAAAAAAAUAUAAAAAACUACCUUCAAUGUAAUUUCUAAUUUCUUUUAAUUAUAAUGUAUAAUCAAAAGUUAGACAAAACAAAAUUGUACACUCAUAAGUUAAAUAAUGAAUAUUUCAUAGCCUCAAAGGUGUAUACAAUUUUACACAUUUUUGUUAUGAUAAAAAUAAUCCAUAGCCAAAAACUAUGAAAGCGAUCAAUUCGUAAUUUUUAUUUUGUUAAUAUUACAUGAUGUUCAUGCAUUUUUUUAAACCAUAUUUAUAAUAAUCCUAUAGCGAUAAAAUAUAACAAAAUCUUAAAUCGUUAUAGUUUUAUUAUAGAAUAUUAACUGGAUAAAUAUUGUUAGAUAAUUUAAUUAAUUUAUUUUAAUAAAUUAAAAUAUUAUUCUAAUAAAAUUAUUUCAAAUAUUAUUCUAAUUUAAAAAUUACUAGACUGUUAAGUCUUGUUUAAUUUUGAGUUCAUUUAUAUAGUAAAAUAAAAUUGGAAAAUAUGAUUUCAUGUAGAAGAAAAAUAAUAGAGUUGUUAUAGACUAAUUUUCAUCCAUAAAUUUUUAAUAUUAAUUACAUCAUUAUUUGAGUUUUAAGUUAUUUCUAGAAAUUACUAAAUUUAUUAAUGAAUUCAACACAUUAAGUUUGGUAUAAUUUUAAGUUUAUUUGUCCAAUGAAACAAAAUUGGAAACAAUAAAGUCAUUCAAGUUCAAUUUUUGUCCAUAAAUUUAUGGUAUUAAUUGGAUCACUAUUUGCAUUGCAAUUUAUUUUUAAGAAUUACUUAGACUUGUUAAUAAAUUCAACGCAUUAAGUCAUACUUGAUUUGGUGAUUAUUUACUAAGUGAAAAAAAUUGUAAAAAUAUGAUUAUAUGCAAAGAAAAAACUAGCCAAGACAUUUAAAUGAAUUUUGGUGUAUGAUAUUCUAAUGUUAGUGAGUUUCAUGACUUUAUAGUACUAACUAAAUCAAUUUUUGACUUUUAAGUUAUUUUUAAAAAUUAGUAAAUUUUAUGUAUAAAGUAUAAUUUGAUUUAGAAUUUAUUUUAUCAAUGAAAAUUUUCUUAAAUUAAAUGAAAUUCAUUAAAACACAUGUAAUUUAAAAGAAUAUUAUAUUUGAAGAUUUUUAGUAUCGGUAUUAGAUCGUAGAAAGAGGUAAAGAAGAAUGAUAUCAUCUUCAAUCUUAUUUGCUUUUUAUAGUUUUUUUAAAUUCCUCUAUAUUUUUCUUUUGCUUUUAAAAAUUGAUGAAAACAAUUUCUACUUGUUUUCUAAAAUAUGUUUUUUAUUUCACUUUAUUUUUAAAAAUUACAAAUAGAAAACAACUAACAAACAAUUUUAUGAAUUUUUAAAAAUAGUUUUUUUUUUAAUUUUUAAAAACAAAAGUUAUUUUUUAAUGAAAUGGCCAAAUGGGCUAAAAACUUUUCAACAGCAAAUUUUGAGAAUUUGGGUCAAGUGCUAUGUGCUCUUGUACAAUCCUCCACUAUUUUUGGCCUUCAUGUCACCGUUGUCAACUUUUACUGUGAAUAAGUUCACGAGCUUAUCUUACUUUAUAUUCGAGAGCAAGGAACAAGAUCUUGAGAGAUGCUUGGUUUGUUUUUUUUUUUGUAUUAAAGAAAUAAAAGAGUAUUCACUUACUAUUCCAUUUUGUACUAAAAAAAUUUGAUAAGACAUUGAUAGGCAUGUAAAUAUUAUAACAUUUAAAUAAACUAAAAAUAUUUUUGUUAUAUUAUUUUAAUUUUAAUUUUUGAACUUUCAUAUUAACGUUCGUUUUAAUUUUUCAUAUGAUUUAAAAUUGAUCAUGGUUCUAACCUUUUACUAGGCUAAAAUCUUUAACUUUUUUAGAUACAUAAAAUAGAAAAUAAAAUAUAUUUUCAUAUAAAUUGUAUUAACAUUUCUUUAAUUAAUUUUUAUAUUUCUUAAAAUACAUAUAUCUUAAAAUACAUAUAUCUUUUUUAAAAAAUAAGUACAUCAUUUAGAAAAAUAGGUACAUCUAAUAUAAAAACAUGUACAUUUCAUUUCAUCGGGGAUUCUUAUCCUCAUUCAACCUAAUUCGGGUGUGGGAUUUCACUUAUGUAGGUCUCAGAAUGCAUUUGAGGUCUUCUUAUACCCUAUUCAACAUGAUAUAACUUUGUGUACAUGUUUUAAAAAAAUGUAUAAAAGUUUAGAAAAGUAUUUACAUCUAAUUUGAGUUGAAUCAUUCCCUUAUUCGACCUAUUUUGAAUCUAAAUUUUAACUUCUAUAUACCUCAUGAUGCAUUCCCAAACCCUAUUUGGCAUGGUAGAACCCUAGGUACAUAUGUUACAAAAAUAAGUAUACUCUUAAGAAAAAGUACAUCUUUUACAAUAAUAACUAUAUUCUUAAAUAUAUAUAUAUAUAUAUAUAUAUAUAUAUACAUUCGUAAGAAAAAUGCAUAUAUUUGAUUUGAGGUUAACCAUGAUCCAAUUCAACCUAAUUUGGAUAUAAGAUUUGACUUAUAUAUGCCUCAAAAUGUAUUUUAUGCCUUCCAAAACUUCAUGUAGCAUGGUAGAAGUAUAGGUUCUGAAAAGGUGAAUCUCAAUAGUGGAAUACACCUAAAGGGGGGUUGAAUAGGUGUUUUGACCAAUUGAACAAAAUCUCAACUCAAAUUAGUAAACCUUAAAACUUCUUGAAUAUUUUUCUUCUCUUCACAAAGUCUAAAAAACAAAUUAUAAAUCACAUGAAUAUAUGAAUGCAACAACACUCCCCAACAAUAUUCAAAUGAAAUUCACAUGCACAUGAUCUAAUACUCCUAAACCCAAAUCAACUUAAAACUAAAUUAUGAUAAAAACAAGAUCAAUAUACAUCAAAAUAUCAAUGAUUAACAAUCAGAAAUGACUUCAAAGAUAAUUCAUAGCCAUUUCUCUUUAUCAUUCAAUCAAAUACUAGACAAUCAAAAUUAUAAUAAAUUGUAGAAACUAAAAAAUGAUGCGAAGAAGAGAAAACGAGACAAUGAGACACCAUAAAUUUACAUGGAAAAUUUUUGAAGAGAUAAAAAACCAUAAGCCUACUACCAAUCAAAAACAUCCACUAUGAAGAAUAAAAACUAAAUACAAGGUUUUACCUAGCUCAAGCCAACUAAUCCUUCCCGGACCACUUGACUAGUACCUUCACUUUUAGUUUCUCACAUUCUUAUUUUAGAGCACAUUUGGAGUCUACACCAAGCUCGAUCUCGACCUCUUAUUGAUUUCACAUAAGAAAAAAAUGGGUUUUUGUGCAAAACCAAGAGAAUUAGAUAUGAAUGUUUCAAAAAUCAACCCAUGCUCAUUUUCAAAAAAUCCAUUUUAAAAAAAUUUCUUAGAAAACUUGGAUGGAUUUUCUUCGUAGGUAAACACCCUUAAAAUGGUGAGGAAAGAAAAAACUCUCUCACAACUAUUGUAGUCACCACUUAUAGAGAUGGAAGAGAUUUGAUUUUAAAUGAGAAAGAAACCCUUAAUCGAAGGGUUGAAAGUUGAUCUUAAAAAUAGGUUGGUUGGAUCAAUCUGCCUCUACACUUAGAUCAAUCCAAAAACAGGGGAACAAAAGCCUUGUGCUAAUAAUAUUUCUCCUUGUUUUCUUAACUCAUUUAAAGAUGAAAAAACAGGGUUGAUUCAUAUUCAAUCACCACACUCGACUAUAUACCUCAGCCUCUUAGCAAAGUUUUAAUCUUCAAAGGUCAAGUAGUCCGAAGAGGGAUUUGUAAACUGAGUUAGGGGACACUUAGGAAUUUUGUUUGAAAUUACCAACCUAGCUAAACACUCACAAUCUCCUCCUUUGGCAAUUCUGGGACAAAACUCUUUACAAUACGAAUGAGUACAAGUAAGUAAGUCCCACCCAACUCUCAUACAAGGCCACACACUCACUCAAAACCUCACCAAAGGUGCUACAAAUCCUAUAAAUAAAUCUCAAGAAAAAACUUUAGGAGCACUUGCACAUAUUACCAAGACACUUCCAUAAGUUUCGAAUGAAUUGAUACACAAAUAUCCACAUAUAUCCACAAAAUCACAUGUCUAAAGAUAGUUAAUAUGCAUUCAUGAGUUCAAAAACGUGUCAAAUAUCCAUCGAUAUACAAAAAGGGUGAUCAUGAUCAACAUAUCAAAUAUCCAAAGCAACAAAACACAAAGAAACCGUCAUGAUCAACUACAUGUCAUAUCAACAUCCAUGUAAAAUGUAAAAUGUUUCCUAAUUUUUGUCCCAGUAGGAGACAAAAGGUCAUAAUCUCCCAUUUUCUAUCUUAGAAAAAAGACAAAUGAAUGAGAAUUCAAUAGCAUAAUAUCUCACAUCCAAAUCAACAAACAUCCACUUUUCAACAAAAUGUCAAAUACCCAAAAAUCAAAUAUUCACAUAUUACCAAGUAUCCAUAUCAACAUUUCAGAAAAAAAAAAUUAUAGGAUACAAUAAUCUCCUCUUGACUCCCAUCACAAGAUAUAAGAAUCUCUCCCUGAAUCCUAUCACAUGGUUUCAAUUAAAAACUUUCAAAAAAUAUGCUUUAUCACCAUGAAAAUAGAUUUCAAGCAUGAAAAUUUAUGGAAACCACUCAAAAUGAACAACCAAAGCCUAGGAUUAGCAUUCCUAGAAACUAGGAACACUCCAAGGCAAAAAUGAAAUCUCAAACUAUUAAAACUAUUGUGAGAAGACUCCACACACAAAAAAUAAAUAAAUAAAAUCCAAAUGAGACUAAGGGCUGAUUGGAAUUUCCAGAAGUGUAGAUUGUGUUGUGUUGAUUGUGCUGUGAAAAACAUAGUCCUAAGGGUUGAUUGGAAUUUCCAACUGCUGGAACGGAAUCCCAACUACACAAGAUACAAUCUAGUGACGCACAUUGGAGGUCCUAGCCAACACAUACUAUGUAGAAGGCAAUUUCUGACAACACCGACGCACUAAGAAGAGACACACAGACCGACGACAUGAGUUGGACAACACAACAAUUCUAGGCUAUUCGACGAGGCUGUUUGGUGGGAUUGGCUAGACUUGAAACGCUCACCAGAUAGGGAAGUCUGACUAUAAAGGUUUCCAAUGGUAGAGACUUAUGACGGUAGUGGUCGGAAUGAUGAACCGACGAUGAUGGCUAAAGAGAAGCAUAGAGUAGAGAAGUUUCCUUCUUUAGAACAAAAGACCUAGGGCUUUUGAAAGAAAUGAAUUGGGAAAAACUGAUUUAGGGAUUUUGACUUUUUUACUUUUAGUUACGAAAAUACCUCUCAUCCAUUAAACCAUAUGAGCAUAACUAGUUGGGGGCAAAAAUGGAAAUUUUCACAAAUGCAUAAGUGGUAUCGAUUUUAGUGGAUUGAUCUAGCUUUCGAUUGUGCUCUCGAUGAUACACAGUCACAUAGGUUUGAACAUACCAAAUUUGAAAAAAAUGGUUAAGUGUGUGAGAGACAAGUACUAGGUGGUAUCGACCUUGGUGGAUCGAUCUAAGAUUCAUUCAAGGGCUCUCGAUCACUACAUUGUGCACACAAUGGAUCGAUCCACAAAUUCAAUAGAUCGAUCGACACCUAAUUGAAAAAUGACUUAGGCAAAAACUAUUGAAAAAUCACAAGAAAUACACCAAUAGGCUUUCCAAAAACUGAAAAUUGAUUGACCAAAGAUGAGAUACAAUAGGAUGGCAUACUUAUAUUUCAAUUAAUGAGUUAGAGUUGAUUCACAUUGAACAAAAAUGCUUCCAAGAACUUAACAAUGGACAAAAUUAAUAAACAUAGAGAUUGAAGUACUUUCCAAAUUUAUCAAAUGAAUAGGUAAAAAACAAAUGAUUAUCAACACUCUAACAAGGAAGCUUAAGCUAAAAAAAAAAACUCACUCAUGACACCAUAAAACGGUGAAAAUGUUAAAUAAUUUCCACUUAUAAACCUAUAUUCAUUUAUGAGCCAAAAAUCAUUUUCAAGAUACUCUUCCUUUCUAGAGAAAUUCAAGAUAAUGUUCCAAGAAGUCAAUUUGCAUCUCUCUUGGCUAGAUUUCUGUUUAACAUGACCUAAUCACAUCCCUUUAAUAAAAUUCAUACACUAUUUGCUUUUCAUAUUUAGCAUUGAAAGGAAUACAAAGCUAUAAGUUUUACCUUAAAGAUCAGUUUUUGACUUGAGGAUCUCUAAGGACGCCUUUACAACAUAACAACAUAAGAGAUGUCCCACUUUUGCAAGGGAGGCUUUUUAAUUCUUGAAACACUGCCAAAGAGCCAUAUCCAUUCCGGGAAACUUCAUAUUUUCUUUUUCUUUUCUUUUUCAUUUUUUUUAAAAAUUUAAUUUCAAAGAGAGGACAAACAAUCAAAGAUUGAUAUUCUCAACCUCUCAAGGAUAUUCCAGGUGUCUUUACUCACUCUUUAAUGCUCAUUAAAUGGGUAUAAGUUUACAUUUAGACUUUAAAGAGCAUUAUUCACCAUUUAUGCAAACACAAGGUCUAACAAUGAGCUUUUUCUCACUUAAUAGAAAUGAAGCUAAUCAUUUGUAGUUUAUCUAACCAAAUCAAAAUAGCAAGGAUUCAAUAUCAUGUUUAUCAAACAAGCCAUGGAGAUAAAGACAUCUUGAAGCUUUUAAGAUCAUGAUGAGUUAAUUUAACUUUUAAACAAAAUGAAUAAGCAUGUCACUCUCAUGAACUCAACAAUUGUUGAAAAUUUAUGAAAAAUGGAGAAAAGAUUGAACCAAAACAAAAAGAACAUCAAGUUGAUGAUAUUUGGGAACUUAGGAAGACAACUAGGACUCAAGAAUAUGCAAGAGGAGUCCUAGACAAGUUUUAGAGGCAAUUAAAUAGAGAGUAUAUAAACCUAUGGGGCUCCUAAGUGAUUCAAACCUAGAAAUGUCCAAAGGUUUAGUAACAUUGUUAGCAAUUUGACUUUCUAUAGGGAAAAACUCUAGUGAAACAACCUUGUCUUCUACCAAGUCUUGAAUGCAGUGAUGCUUAAUGUCCACAUGUUUUUAUCUAGAAUGAAGAACACGGUUCUUUAACCUAUCAAUAACAUUGGCAUCAUCAAAUUCCUCCCCAUCAAUCUUAACUUUUACAAUGGGAUGCUCUUUUUCAUUUUGCAACAAUCUAUGUUGUAGCAAGUGAUUAACACAUACAAUUUUAGAACUUCCACACACAAGAGAAGAGGAUGAAGGAGAUUUUUUACUAACAACAUAGCACUUAUCACAAAUUCUCAAGCCCAUCAUCACACAUACAUCAUUCAAGUUAAACACCUUGCAAAAAUUUUGUGAAAAUUUUACAUUGAACUCAUUCCCACACAUUUGGCUUAUUCUAACUAAGUUAGCCUUUAAACCUUCAUAUAAGACCUCUUCAAGAUUAGGAAUUUCGGGGGCACAAAUGGUACCUUUGUCUUUCACCCUAGCCACAUUACCAUAUCUAAAUGUCACAUUUCCUCCAUCAAAUUCAGUGAAUGAAGUGAACAAAGAUUUAUUUCCAGUCAUAUGAUGUGAGCAUCUACUAUCAAGAUUCCAUGAGUGUGACUCACUAGCUCUAAGUACGUUAUGGACAACAAAACACUUCAACUCAUUCAUUUACACCCAAAUUUGUUUAAUAUUUGAGACUUGUCUUUUCAUUCAAAGUGCUUCCUUUCAACUCACCAUUAUGAGGGAUCUUUGACCACUUCUUGGACACUCUCUUAUUCUCAUUCAAUAACCUAUUCUUCAAAGUAUAACAUUCAUUCAUUAGGUUGGUAAAUUUCUUUUGAAAAUUAUCAGACAAUCUUGCAUAACAUCUAUAAAAAAUGUGUCCCAUUUUGCCACAAUGAUUGCAAUGAAACUUGAUUUGAGAAUGAGUUUUCUUAGGAGAUUAUUUUUCACAAGGCUUAACAAAAAUUGUUUUACCACUACUUGGAGUAGUAUUUGCAUCAACAAAUCCUAAGCCUUGUUUAUCAAAAAAUUUACACCCUAAAUUGAUCAACUCAUUAAGUCUCUUAGAGCUAGGAUGUGACUCUUCCUUCUUAAGACUUAACCCAUCCUUGAACAUUUGAUUCACUUUUCAAUACAUAAUAUUUUUUCUUCACUUCCAAAUGUUCAUUUUCAAGAAAUCCAAUUUUGUCAAGCAAAACCUUAUUUUCUCCCUUCAAGACAUCAAUCUCAUUGAUUAGAAUAUUCUUAGAAGCCUUCCACUUGACUUGUUCUUGUUUAAGGCUCAAGCACUCCUUAUACAAAGUCUCAUAUGCCGUGUCAAAACUCAUGUCAUCAUCAUUGGAGUCACUUGACUCAUGACUCACUUAUCACUUAAGACCUCUUUCUUGAGUGGUUUCUCAUUGACACUUGCAACAAAGGCUAUGAAGUUAGUGCAUUUUUCACUUCCAUUGGAUUCUUUUUCACUUGAUUGACAAGAUUCUAUGUUGCUUCAAGUGACUUGCAUGACCUUCUUUCCUUUUUUUCUUUGAGGGACAUUUGGCGGCAUAAUGUCCAUUUCCUCUACAUUUAAAGCACUCAAUCUCCAACUCUUUUUUCACACAUUUCUCCAUAUCCUUCUUUUUUUUCUAAUAGAGUUCCUCCAUUUUUACCAUCAUUUGAUUCUUUCUUGGAUUUUAUGAAUUUCAUGUACUUCUUAAUUUUUUUAGUAAACUUAGUAAGCACACCAUUUGAUAUUUUCUCAUCAUCCUCACUUUCGGAACUUAGGGACUCUUCUUUAAUAGUUUUUAAAGCAAUUCCCUUAGCUUUCCUAGGUGAUACAAGCGUCAUCUCAAAGGUUUGGAGGGAACCUACAAGUUCAUCUAUCUUCAAGGAAUCCACAUCCUUAGACUCUUCAAUGGUGGUAACCUUAGCUCUAAAUCUCUCUCGAAGAGAUCUUAAAAUUUUUCUAACCACCUUAGUGUUAGAGACGGAUUCACCUAGAUUGAAGUUAGAAUUCACUAUAUCCAUCAAUUUUGCAUGAAAUUCUCCAAAAGUUUCAUGGUCAUCCAUCCUAAUGGUCUCAAACCUAGAUGUCAACAUUUGAAGCCUGGACAUUUUUACGACAUUAGUUCCUUCAUGAGUCACUUGGAGGAUAUCCUAAGCCUUCUUUAACCAAAGUGCAUGUGGCAAUCCUAUGAAAUUCAUUCGUACUAAUGGCAUUGAAGAUGGAGUACAUGGCUCUAGCUUUAUUCUCACUUGCUUCAUUUUCACUUCUAUCACAUUCCAAUUUUGGCUUGAUAACAUUUGUUAGUUUACCUUCUCUAUCUAACACCUUAGGUGGAGACUAACCAAAUUCAAUGACAUUCCAAACUUUUUCACUUUGCAUUUUGAGAAAAUAUUGCAUUCUCACUUUCCAAUGAGAAUAAUUUUCACCAGUUAAGAAUGGUGGUCUCCUAAUGGAAGAUCUCUCUUAAUGAGGUUCCAUGAUUGAGAUUUAAGGACCGAAAAUGAUUUUUUCUUUAAAAACCCUCUCUGAUACCAAUUGAAAAGGUGAAUCUCAAUAGUGGAAUACACCUAAAUGGGGGUUGAAUAGGUGUUUUGACCAAUUUAUCAAAAUCUCAACUCAAAUUNNNNNNNNNNNNNNNNNNNNNNNNNNNNNNNNNNNNNNNNNNNNNNNNNNNNNNNNNNNNNNNNNNNNNNNNNNNNNNNNNNNNNNNNNNNNNNNNNNNNAAAAAAUGCACACUCUCUCACAAAGAAUGUAAAUUUUUCAAAAAAAAAAAAAAAAAAAAAACUUUCUUUUAUGGGGGGGCGCGGUGCUAUACAUUCUUAUAUAGGUAUAUAUAUAAAAAUAUAGAGACCUCACAGAGAAUGUGAGGGGUUCCUGUUCCUUGUGGGUCACUUCUAAAUCCUACACACACCCCUAAGAAACACACACACACUUUUUUUAUGGUGAACCACGACAAUAUACAUCCUUAUUUGGAUCUCUCUAUAAACAUAUAGAAGUGUGGGAGUGUGUGAGGCUCUCCCUUAUUUGAGUGGGCGUUUCUAAAACCUAUAUACAAAUUUUUUUACAUAUAGAAAUAUGAGAGGUACACGUCUAUUAUCUUUUCAUACCAUAUCUAUAUCACUCACUCUCUCUCUCACGUUUGUUUUGUGUGUAUAUAUAUAUAUAUAUAUAUAUAUAUAUAUAUAUAUAUAUAUAUAUAUAUAUAUAUAUAUAUAUAUAUAUAUAUAUAUAUAUAUAUAUAUAAAGUAUAUCCUUUUUAGGUUGUGCCUUUGAAUUAUUCCACUUNNNNNNNNNNNNNNNNNNNNNNNNNNNNNNNNNNNNNNNNNNNNNNNNNNNNNNNNNNNNNNNNNNNNNNNNNNNNNNNNNNNNNNNNNNNNNNNNNNNNCAAAGAUGAUUCAUAGUCAUUUCUCUUCAUCAUUCAAUCAAAUAGUAGACAAUCAAAAUUAUAAUAAAUUCUUGAAACUGAAAACUGAUGCUAAGAAGAGAAAGAGAGACAAUGAGACACCAUAAAUUUACAUGAAAAAUCUCCGAAGAGAUAAAAAACCAUGGGCCUAUUACUGAUUGAAAACAUCCACUAUGAAAAAUAAAAUCUGAAUACAAGGUUUUACCUACCUCAAGCCAACCAAUCUUUCCCAAACCACUUGACUAGUACCUUUACUUUCAGCUUCUCACCUUCUUCUUUCGAGGCACACUUGGAGUUUGUACCAAGCUCAAUCUCGACCUCUUCUUGAAUUCAUACAAGAACAAAAUGGGUUUUUGCACAAAACUGAGAGAAUGAGAGAUGAAUGUUUCAGAAAUCAACCCAUGUUCGUUUUUAGAAAAUCCAUUUUUUUAAAAAAAUUAUUGGAAAACUUGGACGGAUUUUCUUCAUAGGUAAACACCCUCCAAAUGGUGAGGAAAGAAAAAACUCUCUCACGGCUACUACAGUCACCACUUCCAGAAAUGAGGGAGAUUUGAUUUUAAAUGAGAGUGAAACCUUAAUCCAAAGGUUGAAAAUCGAUCUAAAAAACAUGUUAGUUGGAUCAAUUUACCCCUAUACCUAGAUUGAUCCAAAAACAGGGGAACAAAAGCCUUGCACCAACAAUAUUUCUCUCAGUUUUCUUUACUCAUUUAAAGAUGAAAAAUAGGGUUGAUUCACAUUCAAUCACCACACACUCAACCACAUACCUUGACCUCUUAGCAAGUCUUAAUCUUCAAAGGUCAAGUAGUUCGAAGAGGGAUUGGUAAACCAAGUUAGGGAACACUUAGGAAUUUUUUUCGGAAUUUCCAACCUAGCUAAACACUCACAGGUUCAUUUUUUUAGAAACAUAUAACACCUUAAGAAAAAUAUGUACAUUUGAUUUCAACUUAACAUGACAGAGUCACACUCAUUUGGGUCUAAGAUUUGACUUAUGUAUGCUACAAAAUGUAAUUAAGAGCUUCCCAAACCUCAUUUGACAUGGUGGAACCCUACCUAAGGUACAUCUUUUACAAAAAUACAUACAUUCUUAACAAAUAUAUAUAUAUAUAUAUAUUUUGAAGAAAAAUACUUACAUUUUUUUCAAGCGAACUGUGUGUUGGCGUCGUAGAUCUAAGGAACGGAAACAAUACGAAUUUAUUUAUUUAUUUUUUUAAAUUGAUCUUUAGGGUUAAAGUGCUAACCUUUAGGUUUGGAUGUUUCAGACCUUAAAUUCCAAGUGUUGAAGAUGACAUUGAAGUUGUUGGAAGUCUCGUAAACCCAUGGUCUUUUGCUUGAUGACUCAACUUUAUUCUUGGCACAUUUUUGAUAGGAAGGAAAGAAAGGUGGAGGCUAGAGCUCUCUUUAUCUCUAAAUGGUGGAAGGAAAAAGUGAUGAAGACUCUAACCCCUAGGGGGUAUUUAUAGGGUUCCUAACUAAGCUUAAGUGACUUGAGCCCACAUGGGCUUGGGUAACUUAAUUUAGGCCAAAAUGGAUCCUAAUUGAUUAAUUAACCCAAUAGGGCCUACUAAUUAAUUAAUUAGCUCAAUCUAGAGACUUUGUUCACUUAUCCUUGUGCAAUCUUGUAUAAUUACCAAAACACCCUUAUGCACAAAAGUAAACCUAUAGUCAAUUCGACCCUCAUAACUAUGCCAAAAAGAUAUAUAAGCUCAGAGCGGGGACCACUAGGAUCCAUAAGAGUACUAACUCCCUCAGGAUCCAAUUAUGAAGUUGAUUCAACAUCUUAUUACAAAGAAUCAACCAAACUCCAAUAUUCUAUGUAAAUAACAACAAGACACUACGUGCUCGGGUCUAUGACCUAGUAUCCAUUGUGUUCAGUCUUCCCAUGAACUGGUGUUUUAGUCUAACAAGGUGAAAGCUAUCAACCUUUCAAGACUCUCUACCAUCCUUGUGUUACAAAUCCUCCUAUUGUAUAUUCAAUUGACAUGUCUUAGCUUUCAAAGAGCUUAUGUCAAGUUCUACUUAAGGAACUAUUAUGACCAUAGUUUCCAUGAACACAUCCCCUUAAGAUCACCCAAGGGGACACAUUGUCUCAAUCCCAUGAGAUAUCAUGGUGUCUAUUGAGAAUGCCUAUUGUUACCGACUUCCAUUAACAGUGACCCAAUCCAUAGGGAAUAUAUGAUCAACUUACGAUCUCACCCAUAGGUAAAAGUCAUUGCUAAUUUUAGUACAAUCUCAAUAUUCUCUCAAGGUUGAGAGAUAACACAAUGAAGUAUCUUGGUGAGGUCAUGACUACUUGAUAGUCUUAAGUCAUGACUCAUCAUAGGUCUUGUCCAACGUGUAAUCAUACACAGUAGUGUACUCACCAUGGGAAACCCAUCCCAAUAACGAAGACCAACCAUCCCUCCAAUUAGGAGGUGGUGCACUACAACCUCUAAUGGGUUGCCUAGACCCAUAAACCGGUUGUGAACAAGUCAAUUAUUUGCAAGGAACCCAUGACUUAAAGAUCUUCUAUGCAACUCCUAAUGCACCUAAGUCAUGUACAAUGCAAAAUAUGUUGACAAGACUUCUCAUAAAAUAUAAUACAUGGAAUAAAGAUAGAUAAAAGUGAAAUGGGAACAUCAUUAAAUAAAUAAGGAAUUUCAAAUUUAAUACACCAUGUUAUGCUUUUAAGAGCUCUAUCUUAAGACUAUAAUCCUAUUUGACCUUAUUUAGGUCUAGGUAUUCACUUAUGGAAGCCUGAGAAUGAAUUAAAGGUCUUUCCUUACCUUGUUAGGCUUUUCUAAACCAUAAGAACAUCCUUAAGAAAAAAUACAUAUAUUUUUAUGGAAAACAUGUACGUUCUUAAAAAAACAAAAUAUGUGCGUUUUUUUUAAAGGAGAUUGUGACCUUAUUUUGCCUUAUUUAGGUUUUAAUAUUAACUUAUGGAAGCCUUGUAAUAAUUUUGAGGCUUCCCAUUCCUCGUUGGUCAUUUUUAAAGUCUACGUACAUCUUUAAGAAAAAUAUGCACAUUCUUAAACAAAGUAUGUAAAUUCUUCAAAAAAAAAAAAAAAAAAAACCUUUUCUUUUAAGGUGGACCAUGGUUCUAUUCAUUCUUAUUUAGGUCUAAAUAUUAAAUUAUAGAAGCCUCAUAAUGAAUUUGAGGUCUUCCUGUUCCUUGUAGGUCAUUUCUAAAUCCUACAUACAUCCUUAAGAAACAUACAUGCAAUUUUUUUAAGGUGAACCAUGACAAUAUACAUCCUUAUUAGGAUCUCAAUAUUAACAUAUGGAAGUGUUGGAAUGUUUGAGGCUUUCCCUUAUUUGAUUGGGCAUUUCUAAAACCUAUGUACAAUUUUUUUAACAUAUGGAAAUAUGAUAGGUACAUGACUAGUAUCUUUUCAUACCAUAUCUAUAGCAUUCAUUCUUACUAUCAUGUUUGUUUUGUGAUUAUAUAUAUAUAUAUAUAUAUAUAUAUAUAUAUAUAUAUAUAUAUAUAUAUAUAUAUAUAUAUAUAUAUAUAUAUAUAUAUAUAUAUAUAUAUAUAUANNNNNNNNNNNNNNNNNNNNNNNNNNNNNNNNNNNNNNNNNNNNNNNNNNNNNNNNNNNNNNNNNNNNNNNNNNNNNNNNNNNNNNNNNNNNNNNNNNNNUCAAAAAAAAAAAAAAAAAAAACCCUUUCUUUUAAGGGGGGGCACGGGUCUAUUCACUCUUAUUUAGGUGUAAAUAUAAAAAUAUAGACGCCUCACAAAGAAUGUGAGGUCUCCCCGUUCCCUGUGGGUCACUUCUAAAUCCCACACACACCCCUAAGAGACACACACGCACUUUUUUUAAGGGGAGCCACGACACUAUACACCCCUAUUUGGGUCUCUCUAUUUACAUAUGGAGGUGUGGGAGUGUGUGAGGCUCUCCCCCAUUUGAGUGGGCGCUUCUAAAACCCAUGUACACUUUUUUUAACACAUGGAAAUAUGAGAGGGACACGUCUAGUGUCUUUUCUCACCCUAUCUAUAGCACUCUCUCUCUCUCUCACGUGUGUUUUGUGUGUAUAUAUAUAUAUAUAUAUAUAUAUAUAUAUAUAUAUAUAUAUAUAUAUAUAUAUAUAUAUAUAUAUAUAUAUAUAUAUAUAUAUAUAUAUAGAUAUAUCCUUUUUAGGUUGUGCCUUUGAAUUAUUCCACUUCUAAUGGUUUGAAUUGUUUUUUCUAUUCUAAUGACUAUAAUUACCAUGGUACCAAGAAUUAUGUUUACCACGACCAUGAUUGUGUCCUUAGCCUUGUUCACGUCCAAGUCCAACUCAAUGUCUAGGAGCUUGGACGGAUGUGACAGUUGCUUCUAGCAAUGACACAUACCUAAUAGUAUGAGGUUGAUGAUUCUUCGGUAGAAGUUCAUUAUUUUGUUUAGCCAUAAGAAGACAUUAAACUAAUUCAAAAUAUUUAGUGAAAUGAUGUUCUUGAUAUCGUUGCCAUAGGAGUACAUUCGAGGCAUGAAAAAUGGUGUUCAUUAUUCUUUAAUGAUUUUUUCUCCAUAUAAAUUGUGAACAACUUUUGAAUAAAGUCGAGUUGUGGUCAUUGACAGACUUGAAAUUUUGUAAUCUCAAGUGCAUCUAAUCAUGAUGUGCUUUUGGAAGGAUUACAAUCUCGUGGUGGCCAUAUCAUUAUGUUAUAUUAUUCCAAAGGAUCAAAGUAUCAUUCCAUUAGAUUAUUUCAAAGGAUGAAAAUUCUUUGAUUGUAAGGAAUUCACCUUUUAUUCCUUCAUCAAUGUGAUAAUGAAGGAAUAUUAAUGCUCUAGUACGAUCUUGUGAGGAUGCCUCAUUUUAUUUUUUAAUGGUCUUUUCAAGAUUCAUAUUGUUUAGGUGAAUUUUAGCAUCUAGAAUCCAUAUAAAUAGUUUGCCUGAAAUAGGGAGUGUAACAAACUCAAACUUGGUAAGAUUUGACAUUAUUUGAAAACUAUAUUUGAAAUAAUUUAAUUGGAAUAAUAUUUCAAUUUACCAAAAUGAAUUAUAAAUAAAUGAAUAAAAUUAUCUAACAAUAUUUUAUCAGGUUAAUAUUCAUUAAUAAAAACAUAACGAUUUAAGAUUUUGUUAUAUUUUAUCUCUAAAGGAUUAUUAUAACUAUGGUAAAAAAAAUGCAUGAACAUCAUGUAGUAUUAACAAAAUAAAAAUUACGAAUUGAUAGCUUACAUAGCUUUUGGCUAUGGAUUAUUUUUAUCAUAACAAAAAUGUGUAAAUUUGUAUAUAUCUUUAGGCUAUGAAAUAUUCAUUAUUUAACUUCUAACUAUACAAUUUUGUUUUGUGUAACAUUUGGUUAUAUCAUUAUAAUUAAAAGAAAUUAGAAAUUACGUGUAAGUCAUUCUUUAUAUUUUUAUAACUUUAUAAUUUCUCAUAUAACCUUUGGCUAUACAAUUGUACAUAUUUUACAUAUUUUUUUAUAACUUCUAGUUGUGAUUUUUUUUCAUAAUUUUUGUCUAUAAAAAAAAUAUUUUCAAGUUUCUUCAUCGAAAAAAGGAUAAAUUAAAUAGAAAAUAAUACAAAAGUAGAAGUUUAUCACAUACCUUUUAGAGGAGAAAAAAGAUAUUUUAUGAGAAUAAGUUUGUCCUUUUAGUGUUUGAAUCUUAUACAAAAACUUAUAAUAAGAGUUUUCUUUUGGAGAGACUAGAAUUAGAGAAGAGAUAGAGUUCUAAAAUAACUUUGAGGUAUCCAUUUCAUUGACCCAAGUUUCCUAUUUAUAAGAGUUUGAAAAAACUAGGAUUAAUUAUAAUAUUUAAUUCUUUAUGGGGAAAAAGUAAAAAAUAAAAAAGGCUUUUAAUCAUUAAUUAAGAGUACUUGCUUAAAUACAAAAUUUCACAAAAAUUUAAACUAAAUUCCUUUAAAAAAGAAUAGAUAACUUGUUUUAAAAAAUAGUUAAACUAUGUUAAUUUUAUAUAAUUUGAGUGAGAAAUAAAUUUAUUAUAAAUUGACAAAGUUGUCAUUCACAAAAAGCAUCAAAUAUAUUUGAUUUUUUUUUUCAUUUUCAUUUUUCAUUUUUUUAAGGAAAAAUCAGAUUUAAAUUUUUUUCAUAAAUUGAUAGCUAAAAGAUAAAUUUACAAAAUUUCAAAUCCCCACAUGUUUCCAUUAUUUUUACCCCAUAAAUUAUCCCAUCCUUAAUAAGAUUGAAUUUUGCAAAUUAUUAUUGAUUACUCAUUCAAAAAUAAAAAUAAAUUACACUAAAAAUCAUAAAAUUUAAAUUAGAAAAAUAUUUAAUAUAAAUUUUAAAAAUUCAGCUUUAUAAAAAAUAAAAAUAAUUAUCAAUUCUAAUAAGAUUUUUUUAAUCAAAAUUCUAAAGCAUAAUUCACAUUCAUCUAAAUAUUUAUUAGAAUUAAUAAUUUUUAAAAAUAUAAAUUAAAAUUUGAUACCCCUUCGGAGAUAAAAUUCCAAAAAUCAAUGAAUUAAUUUAGAAAAGAAUACAUAUUUCAAUCUCAAAUCUUCAAAUCUAAACAUAUACUAACUUAGAAAAGUUCUAAUAGUUUCUAACAAGUCUAAGUGGGUAUUUGGUAAAUCAAUUUAAUAACUUAAUUCAAGUUAUUAAAUAAAUUAAAUAUAGUUGGUAAAAUAAUUUAAUGGUAUGACUUAAAGUAAAAAACAACUUUAAGUAAUAAGUAAAAAUAAUUAAUUUAUUCUUAAAUUCAUGUUUUCAUUUUAUCUUUUUACCCUCAUUUAUCUUAGUUCCACGAUUUAUUUUGCUAUUAUACAACUUCCAUCAUUACUUGAUCUCAUUUACCCUCAUUAUAAUUUAUGGGGGUAAGUAUAUUAAUUUGAUGAUUUAGAAUAAAUUUUAAAUUAAUUUUAUUAAAAAAUCUUAAUAUUUAAAGUAAAAAUUAAGUAAUAAGUUUUAAGUCAAUAACUUCAAUAUAAUUUUACUUAAAAUCAACUUAAGUCAUUGAGUAAUAAUUAUUGAGUUUUACCAAACACCCCAUAAUUAUACUUAUUAUCAUACUACCAAUUUCUUAUCAAUUACAUAAUUAUUUAUUAUAAAAUUUUAAUAUGUUAAUGAAUUAUGAUAUUUAAAUAUUUAAAAAUAUGUUGAUUGCAAACUAAUUUAACAAGAAAUAAAAUAAUAUUAUUUUGUAAAUAUUUUUGUAAUGUAAAAGAUAAGUAAUUUAAUAUUUUUUAACAUUUACUAAUAAUUAAAAUAUAAAAAAUUUAAAUAUUUAACAAUACUUAAUUUAUUCAAAUUUAAAACAAAUUUAGAUCUUAGAUAAAAAUACAAUCACCACUGAAAUUUUAAAUAUUUAAAAUACACAUAAAGUUUAAAUAUUUAUUUAAUUUCAGGAAUCUAAGAACUAAGGAAGGGACCAAUAGUGACUUGUCGAUCUAAAAGUAUGCAAGUUCUAUUUUCUUUUCCCUACAAUAUCAUUUUUUUCCUUGCAACAUCAUUUUUGUGGUGGAAAUUAUGCGGAGGACCAGUGUACUUAAUUGACAGGGCUGGCGAAAGCGAUGACGUGGAAUGAUCAAAGCAAUGAGAUGUCGUGGAAGCAACCAACUAUCGGGACGCUUCUAUAUUUUACCAUGCCAUAACAAAAGUUUCCAUAAUUCGCAAGUUCUGGAGAGAUACGAAACCGAGAUAGAAUAUAAUUUAGAAAGGAAAAUGAAAAUGAAAGCUGAGAUAAGGAAUGAGCAUCACCACCUCCUAGAAGUAUCCAAGGGUUUAACCCACUCUCUGAAAUUUGCUAUAAAUACUCAGCAAUUUCCCGUGUUGUUCAUCAAUACUUAAAAGAGUUUGAAUUUAUCAAUCACAUUAGUAGCAAUGGCAGACGAGAUUAUCGUGUUGGAUUUCCGGCCUAGCAUGUUUGGUAUGAGGGUCAGAGUUGCCCUGGCAGAGAAGGGUCUCAAGUAUGAAUAUAGAGAGGAGGACCUGUGGAACAAGAGCCCUUUGCUUCUUGAGAUGAACCCAGUUCAUAAGAAAAUCCCAGUUCUGAUCCACAAUGGAAAGCCCAUUUGUGAGUCUCUGAUAAUAGUUCAGUGUAUUGAUGAGGUUUGGUACGAUAAAUCUCUGCUUUUGCCCAGUGACCCAUACUAGAGAGCUCAGGCCAGGUUCUGGGCGGACUACAUAGACAAGAAGGUAUGCCUUUGCUGUUGAUUUAAAGCAUUCUUUUCCAUUGAUUCAUGGCGAUUGACUCAGAUUUUGAUUAUGGUGAGGGAUUUGUCCAAAAUGCUGGGUUUCUUCACACGUUCCCUUCUGAUAUUGAGUUUUGUGGGCUUUGGGGUUCCAAACUAGAACUUUUACUGAUUCUCCUUGCUGUUUGUUCAACAAGACUAUACUCUGCAUUUCUGAUAUGGGUUUAAAUUUCUUGUUUAUGUUGAAUACGAAUUCUGUUCGUUCCAUCAGGAAAAACAGAUCUCAAGAAUACCUUUUUUCCCCAAGCAAGGCGAAUACAUAAACCAGAUAUUUAAAGAAAGGUGUUUGGUUUUUUGUUAUCUUGCUGUUCAACAUCUUGCACAACAGUUGUUUUAAUAUAUGUUCUGUUUCUUUGAUCUCUUUCUUCUCAUUUUCUGAAACCCAAUUUGAGGGGAAAAACUUCAGCAAAUGAUACAUUCUUUCAGCUGAUUCUGAUCUUUUUUCUUCCACCGGCACUUCAUUUUAUUCUUAGCAAAUGAUAUUUCUAUGCGGAAGAGUCCUUAAUAAACUUGUCCAACUUUACAGAAUUUGAAACUUGAUGAAAUUCUCCAAAAAAAAUAAUCCUUCUCUCUUUGACUCCAUUAUUUUCCACAGCUCUAUGAACUUGGAAGGAAGAUAUGGUCAACCAAAGGAGAAGAGCAGGAAACAGCCAAGAAGGAAUUCAUAGAGUGCCUUAAGCUUUUGGAAGGAGAGCUUGGAGAGAAGCCUUACUUCGGUGGUGAAAAAAUUGGGUUUGUAGAUGUGGCUCUGGUGACCUUCUCUUGCUGGUUUUAUGCAUACGAGACCUUUGGCAACUUCAGCAUAGAGGCGGAGUGCCCCAAGUUGAUCGCUUGGACCAAGAGGUGCAUGGAAAGGGAGAGCGUGUCGUCUUCUCUUGCAGACCCCCACAAGGUCCAUGGCUUUGUCGUGGUGUUGAGAAAGAAGUUUGGUAUAGAGUAGAAGGGGCACAUGGGUCCUCUCUCGAAGACCCCGCAAGGUCCAUGACUUUGUCACGUGGAUGAGAAAGAAGUUUGGUAUUGAAUAAAAGGGAAAUAUCACGGUCUAUGCUCUAUUGAGUAGUGUUGUAUUGGUAAUGUAAGAGGAGUGUUUGCUUAAGUUUGCUAAGUGAUAUGGGUUUGCUGAGCUAUGUUGUUGGAAAUAAAUGUUUUGAAUUUGUUUUGGACUAGAGACGUGUUCCUGUAUUAAAGAAAUAAAAGUCUUUGACUACAUUUCCAUCGUGUCCACAUGAACAACUAUUAAGACAAAUUGGUUAAGACAUGCCCUAGAUAGAAAUAGAUAGAAGUGAGUCAUGAAAUGCACAUAUCUAACCUGCUCUUAUUACCAUAUUUUUUUUUUUUUAAAAAAAACUUUGAUAUGAGAAGUCAAAGAGCAUGUCGUUGUUGAUUUUUUUUUCUUUUUCACAAGAAUAUAUAUAUAUCUUCCAUAAAAUUAUCUUCAUGAAAAUUUUCUAUUUUCAAUUUUUUUUCUCUAUUCCAUUUUCUCAUAUUUAUUGAUUUUAAUUAUUUAUAGAUGUUUUAAAUAUAAAAUAAUAAUAUAAAAUAAAUAAUUAAUAAGAAAAAUUUUAAUAUAACAAUAAAUAAAUAAAAUGUUGAAAGUAAUAUUAUGGUAGGAAGGAUGUAUCACUCUUUUUUGGUUUAAACUAAGAUAUGUUACCAUCAUUUAUGUGCUAGAUGUCUUAUUAAUGGUGAAAUAACGUGAAUUCAAAGGGUGUUAAUGUAACAUUGAUCAACACAACCCUUGAAAAAAUGAAUACCACUCUUUUAUAAAUAAAAAACACCACUAAAUUGUAUUAAAAGUAUCAUUGUAGUGUGAAUGUUGUACUAUUCUUCUUUGGUUUAAGGUAUGUUUCCAUUUGUUAUGUGCUCAACGUAUUAGGUAAUGAUGAAAUAACGUGAAAUGAGUGAAUGUUAUUAUGCAACAACACCGAUCAACACAACCCUUAGAAAAAGAGGGUACCACUCAUUUAUGAAAAAUCUACUAUGUUAAAAGUACUACUAUGGUGGGAAGAAUGUAUCACUUGUCUUUAAGUUCUACCAUGGUAGGAAAAAUGUAUCACUCUUCUUUGGUUUACGGCGAGGUUUGUUACUAUUCAUUACAUGCUCAACGUCAUAUGUGAUGAGGAAAUAAUGUGAAUUGAGAUGGUGUUAUUUCACUAUAACACUGAUCAACACAAAUCCUUGGAAAAAAGGGUACUACUCUGUAGACAUAAAAAAAAUUAGUGGAUUAAAUUACCACUAAUUUGGUCUUCAAAAUGAAUAAAAAAAAAAAUAUAUAUCCUCUUAUGGAUAAGUUUCCUUAAUCUCCAACUAUAAAAAGGAUAAUAAUAAUAAUAAUAAGAAAAUUAUUAUUAUUAUUAUUAUUAUUAUUAUCUUGUUGAUAAAACCUCUUGGGAGAAGAAAAUUUGCUAAAAUCAAGGAACUAAAUCCCUUGAAUUAAGCAACUAAACUCCGAGAAUUUGAAAUUCAAAUUCCAUAUCUUCACCUAUAAAUAGAGGUGUCUUCUUUCAAGAAAGGAGAUGAAGAAAUUGAGAAAUAAAAAAAAAAUUCAGAAAGGAAAAUCCUAAGGAGAAAAUCCAAAGGCAAUUUUGUACAGGAAAAAAAGGUUUCAUAACAAAAGAAAAAGUUUCAUCAAAUUUCUCUGCAAGUUUGGUAAAUGGUAGAACUGCUAAACGCAUUCUUUGCCAUUUAACGAGUUCAUUCGGGAAUAAGCCACUUGUGACCCUCGAUUGAUCUUUGAAAUCAAGAAAACGUCAUCGUCGUCUUCCAAAGUGUGAUUAAGGCAAAAGAAUUAGGGGGGAAAAUUAUUUUGGAAAGAAUAUUAUUUUGAGAUUUUACCCACAAUAUUUUCAAUUUUAAUAAAUGUUUUGUUCGCAUUAUUUUCCUAUUUAUUUUGUUAAUUUGGUAGGACCAUUUAUGAAAUUUGUGGGUACAAAUUUCUAGCACGCCCAGCGAGACUUCUUUGCCUCUCGUCUCUUUUUAGAAGAUUGAUCUCUACUUCAUUGAUGACACCCAAAAGAACUCAAGUUGUGCAUGUAAACAAGGGCAAUGACAAGAUCAUCAUUGCACAAUCAACACAUGACGCCGCUAUGGGCCCCAUGACUCAUAGCAAAGCAAAAUCAACAUCUUCACUCUCAACAAAACAAAUAAGUGAGUUUGCUUGUUUGCUAAAAUCGGUAAGAACGUGUGAUGAGCACCAGCCACUCAUCACAUUGGUCUCUCUAGGGGCAAAGAGCCAUAGUCCUCGUAGUAGGGGAAAACUCACUUCAACACUACAGGACUUAGGAUAAAUCUCCUAGCUCUGUUAUCGAUUCUAACUCUAGCACCGGCUCAUACUCCGAGUCGCCAGCUGGAAUGUCAAAGGAGGAAAACUACUCCAAUCGUUUCGACUCUUUUACUUCUCCCUUCUCGAUGACUAUGCUGGUAAUGGCAACUGGCACUACAUUUGUAGAGGAACAAUUAGUAGAGAUGGCUCAUGGCAUCGCCAAACUCACCAAAAUGGUUGAGGAGAAGGAUAUGCAAAUAGCCUCCCUCAUAAAUAAGGUUGAGGCACAAGUACAAAAUAUGGGUGAGUCAAGUCAAGGACUCAACCACUUUCUGAAUGUUGCAUCUCUUCUCGAUGAUGCACCACAUGCGUAUAGGACAAUCCAAGUUGAGAGACAAAUGGCGGAAUCUGCCUCAAUGGCAUCAUUAUCUAUCCAACAACUUCAGUACAUGAUAACUAACACCAUUAGAGUGCAGUACAGUGGACCCUUACAGAGUACGCUCAUGUACUCAAAACGUUACACUAAGAGGAUUGAUAACCUACGUAUGCCUGUGGGUUAUCAACCUCCAAAAUUUCAAUCAUUUGCAAAAUUUCAAUCAUUUGAUUGGAAGGGAAAUCCAAAACAAUAUAUUGCCCAUUUCAUUGAAACUUGUAACAAUGCAGGUACAGAUGGUGACUUAUUAGUUAAACAAUUCGUCCGUUUUAUUCGAAGGAAUGCUUUCGAUUGGUACAUAGACCUUACACUUAAGUGUAUCGAUAAUUGAGACCAAAUGGAAUGUGAAUUCCUCAAUAGUUUCUAUAACACCCGACGAACUGUAAGCAUGAUGGAACUUACUAACACUAAGCAAUGGAAAGACAAGCCGAUUAUAAACUAUAUCAAUUAUUGACAUUCCUUAAGCCUUGACUACAAAGAUAGAUUAUCUGAGGUAUUGACCAUGGAAAUGUGCAUACAAGGAAUGCAUUGGGGUCUCCUAUACAUUCUCUAAGGGAUACAACCUCAUACAUUUGAAGAAUUAGCUACCAAAGCACAUGACAUAGAGCUCAACAUAGACAACCAUGGUUCUAAGAAGGACCUUACCAUUGAUCGAUAAAGAGAAAGACAUGAUGGGAAAAUGAGUGACAAGACCUCAAAGAAACCUAUUCAGGAGUCAAUGACAAUAAAUAUAACUCUUGUCAAAAUCUCAGCAAGAGAUAAAAAAAAGGAAGUAAAAGAGGUCAGACUAACCCAGGAAAAUAAGAUGUGUCAAUUCAUCUUGAAGGAAUUAGAGGAGAAGAAGUAUCCUUUUCCUGACUUUGAUGUGCCUAACAUGUUGGAAGACUUGCUCCAAAAAAAGGUUAUUAAGUUACUUGAGUGUAAGCAUCCAAAAAGAAUGGGUCGUGUUAAUGAUCCAAUCUACUAUCAUUACCAUCGAAUUGUUAGUCAUCCUAUGGAGAAAUGUUUCAUUUUAAAAGAUCUCAUAAUGAAACUUGCAAAGCAAAGAAGAAUUCAUUUAGAUCUGGAUGAAGUAGUAGAGUCAAAUCAUGCUAUAGUCACAUUUGAGUCAUUUGAUCCUGUUCCAUUACAUGUUCCACUUAAGAAACUAGGGACAUGUGGCAAUACUAUUCAAUGUGAGUCACCAAAACCAAAGCAAACAUAAGUGUCAUGUUAGGAUAGCCUUCUUCGCCUUUGCUCUGAUAAUAAAUCAAUGUCAUAUGACGAAGAAGGUUGGAUAUUGGUGACACGAAGAAGACUUUGCAAGAAGCAAGGGUCGCAUUCAUACCCUAACCUUCUUAGGAGGGAAUGACAUGAGUGGAAUACUCACCAACAUUUAAAGAAGAAAGAAAAAAAGAAUCUUAAAAGAAAACAAGCGAUUGUACAAAUAGACGACUUUUUGGUCCAGAAACUCAUCACCCCUAUCACCCUAGAGAAAUACUUCCCUCUAGGGUUCUUUGAUAAAAGGGUGGCAGUAUCAACUCAUAUGGUCUCUUGCUAAGAGACUUCAAAAGAAGAGGGGUUAAGUGAAGAUGAGGAAAACAUUCUUGGUGUUGAGUCAAGAAAAACUAAGGAAGAAGAGGGGGUUGUAGCAAGCCUACAACACCUACUCUCACUAUUUAGUAGCCACGAAAUGCUACAACUACCUAAUGAGAUACAAAAUGUGUUGAUUCAAGUACUUAAGGAUCCAACACUCUAUGCCACCAAAAUAAAGGGGGCAAAAAGACUUGAGGAUGAAAGCCACAAUUGUGCCAAAUGUUGUGCAGCCAUCAUUUUUACUAACGAAGACCUUCAGUUAGGGUCAAAACCACAUAAUCGACCCCUGUUUGUUACUAGGUACAUACGGGAACAAAAUAUCACUUGCAUUUUAAUUGAUGAAGGGUUUGGAAUAAAUAUCAUGCCUAAAGCAACAAUGAAAUGACUCAGGAUUGCUACAAAAGAACUAACUCAGAGUCGCCUAAUGAUCUAAGGCUUUAAUCAAGGGGGACAACGAGCUAUUGGUAUGAUUCACCUAGAGCUUGUUACAGGUGAAUUGAGUUCGAACACAUUGUUUCAUGUAAUCAUUGCAAAACAUUUUACAACUUAUUACUCGAGCGACCAUGACUUCAUGAGAAUGGGGUAAUUCUUUCGACACUAUACUAGUGUUUCAAAUUCUAUAGAGGAGGGGUAAAGGUAGUAUAGACUGAUACUAAGCCAUUUACAGAAGUCGAGUCUUAUUUUGUUGAUGCUAAAUUUUACAUAGAAAAUGAUGUUAUGCAGGAAGUCCUUCUUGCGAUUAUUCUCUCCACUGGGAAUGCUAAACUUAAGGAAAAAGUUGAGCUAUGUAAGUUGACAUCAGCAGGGAAAUUUCAUAACAAAUGAUGACUCAAAUAAAAAAAAAAGAGAAAUUUUCAAAAAAAUUGACAUUGGACUUGACAAUUCUCACUACUUUCCUAGUUUUUAGGUACAUCCCAAUAUCUCGACGAAGUGAGGGUCAACCAUUUUUCAUAGAAGACAAAAACAAAGUACAACCCUGAGGAUUGGAAAAUGGGGACCUUUAAGUCUUGAAAGAAGAUACGACCAUUCCUCUUCCAAACUUACAACUUAUCUCUAGGGAUGAAACACAAAAAUCCAACAAAACCUCAAGAGAUCAAACAAAGCAAGAAUUCUUUCCUGGUAAAAGAAUAAAUGAGGAGUUCAACCCUAAGACUUACAAGUUAUUAGCCAAGGCAAGGUAUUACUUCACUUCGUCAUCACGAUUAGGAGAACUUAGCCUCGAGACUACAGGUGAAAAGAUGCAUGACUUUAACGAAACUCAAAAAAAGUUGAAACAACAAGGGUAUGCAGUCAAACCUUCUAGUGCAGGUUUAGGGUUUGUACCUUUUGAGCCUAUCAAAAUUUUAGUUAAGACUAAGAAGACUAAGGCAAGUACACAACAUAUCAUUGUAGAAGACAUGGAGGAGAGUAGUGGGUCUAACUCUCCUUCUCGAAUUUCAAUAUUUGAUCGGAUUGAAGCUCUAAUUACAUGAGCUUCAGUGUUCACUAGGUUGGGCGAUUUUAACCAAGUAUAAUGUAAUUUAGCACAUAUUCCACAAAGGUCAAUACAACGAAGGAUUAAUACUCUACCCAAAAGUCACGACGACAAAAUCCCAAUAAGAAGUAGUGUAGUGAACUAAAUAAGAAUGCAAAAAUAAGAAGUUUAAUCCCAUCAAGGAUGAAACACCAUUCAACUUGGGAAAUUUGUACUAAUGGCUAGUUAAAAUUAAAAUGACAUACCAUCGUGAUCACCAAGCAGUCGGACGAGGGAUGCCCUAAAGAUGUUAAAUAAAGUUUGACACACAGUAACUACCAUAUUACAGUAGAAGUUGACUCUAAUUCAGAGUUUUUAGAAGAUGAACUAUGAGAAGCUCCUCAAGUAUUUGAGGACGGGGGGCAGGCCACUGUAGAUGAGUUAAAAGAGCUCAAUUUAGGUACAAAUGAGGACCCAAGGCCAAUUUAUGUAAGUAUGCUUUUAAGUCCUUCUGAAGAGAAAAGUUAUUUUGAAUUGUUACUCAAUUAUAAAGAUGUCUUUGCAUGGUCGUACAAAGAAAUGUCAGGUCUUGAUCCAAAAGUUGUAGUACAUUAACUCACGGUGAAACAUGGUGUCCGAUUGAUUAAGCAAGCCCAAAGACGAUUUUGACCAGAACUUGUUUCGCAAAUAGAAACGAAAAUUUUCAAAUUGAUUGAAGUUGGUUUUAUUAAGGAGGUAAAGUACCCGACAUGGAUUGCGAACAUUGUUCCAGUGAAGAAAAAGAAUGGGUAGAUCCGUGUCUGUGUAAAUUUUAGAGAUUUAAACAAUGCUUGCCCAAAAGAUGACUUCCCAUUACUAAUUAUUAAGCUUAUGGUUGAUGCAACUACAGGUCAUGGAACUUUAUCCUUCAUGGAUGGAUCAUUGGGGUAUAACCAAAUACAAAUGGUGCCAGGGGAUGAAGAACUUACUGCAUUUUGUACUCUAAAGGGUAUUUACUGUUACAAAGUGAUGCCUUUAAGACUAAAUAAUGCAGAUGCAACGUAUCAACAUGCCAUGCAGAAAAUAUUUGAUGACAUGCUUCAUAAGAAUGUCGAGUGCUAUGUUGAUGAACUGGUGGUCAAGUCUAAGAAGAGAGAAGACCACCUGCAAGAUCUUCGUAUGGUGUUUGACAGGUUAAGAAGGUACCAACUUAUGAACCUACUCAAAUGUGCUUUUGGUGUUACUUCUAGUAAGUUUCUAUUUUAUUGUUCGACACCGUGGCAUUGAAGUGGAUCAAUCUAAGAUCGCAACCAUUCGAGCUAUGCCAGAGCUGAGGAAUCUUUAAGAACUUAGAAGUCUUCAAGGACGUCUUACUUUUAUUCGACGAUUUAUUUCAAAUCUUGUAGGACGAUGUCAAUCCUUCAACCAACUUAUGAAGAAAGAUGUCCCAUUUGUUUGGGACAAAGCUUGUCAUAAUCCCUUUGAGAGAAUAAAAAAGUAUUUGGCUAAUCCACCAAUCUUAGGUGCUCUUAUGGCAGGGAAGCCAUUGAUACUCUACAUUGCCGCACAAAAAUGCUCUCUUGGAGCAUUGUUUGCACAACAAAACGAGGAGAACAAAGAAAAUACAUUGUAUUACUUAAGUCAAACUCUAAUGGGAUCAGAACUAAAUUACUCCCUAAUAGAGAAAACUUGUCUUGCUUUAAUCUUCUCGACAAAAAAGCUAAUACAUUACAUGCAGGCAUACACAGUACACUUAAUAGCACACGUUGAUCCCAUUAAGUAUGUGCUAUCAAAGCCAGUUAUUUCAAGACGAUUAGCAAGAUGGGGGUUGUUACUCACUGAGUAUGAAAUAAUCUACAUUCCUUAAAAGGUAAUCAAAGGACAACGCAGACUUCUUGGCAGAUCAUCCUAUCCUUGCAACAUGAAAAAUUUUAGAUGACUUCCCCGAUGAGGAGAUCUUUUAUGUUGAUGUUUUUCCUUCGUGAAUGAUGUUCAGGUCAGCACGUUAUGAUGGAACAGGUGCAGAUGUUGUAUUUGUCUCACAACAAAGAUAGAUACUACCAUAUUCAUUUGUUCUUAGUGAGAGAUGCUCUAACAACGUUGCUAAAUACCAAGCCUUAAUUAUUGAACUACAAAUAGCGAUUGAAAUGAAAAUCACAAGCUUAGAGAUAUGUGGGGAUUCUAAGUUGGUAAUCAAUCAACUUCUAGCCUUGUAUAAGGUUAAAAGUGAUGACUUAGUUCCUUACUUCCAAUAUGCUACCCAACUGAUGGAAAAGUUUGAGCGAACCUCUUUAGUUCAUAUUCCAUGAAAGAAAACUAAAUGGCAGAUGCUCUAGCUAAUCUAGUUGCAAGUUUGACACUGCUUAAGGACGAGACUAUACACAUCACUCUUUGCCAUAAGUGGGUACUGCCGCCAUUGCCACUAUUACAACAAGAAGAAGUAAACGCUACAUCGGUAUUUACUAUUGACAACGAAGAUUGGCGACAACCAUUAAUUGACUACUUAGAGCAUGUGAAGUUACUUGAUGAACUAAGGCAUUGAACAUAAAUACGACAUUGAGCUCCAUACUUCAUUUACUACAAAGAAACACUUUAUCGAUGCUCAUUCCAUGGAGUACUUCUUCGAUGCCUAGAAGGAGAAGAGACAAAUCAAGCAAUUGAAGAAGCUCAUUCUGAGAUCUAUAGGGCUCACCAAUCAGGGCCAAAACUUCAUUUUCGAAUCAAAAGGAUGGGAUACUAUUGGCCAACUAUGGUUAAGGAUUGUAUGGAAUAUGAAAAGAAGUGUCAAUCAUGCCAAUUCCACUCAAAUUUUAUACACAACCCCUUGAGCCACUCCAUCCUACAAUUGCGUCAUUGUAGACCCUCAAUUUUGUCCCUUUAGCACAUGUCUUUAAGUUCGUUUUCAGUGCUUCAAAAUAGUUCCUUGGUGGCCCAUGGCUACUCAUACCACUUACCUUUUUCUGAGUCACCUCGGAGAUUUUGGUGGAGGAAUUAUUUGAUCCUUUAUUGUGACCCUUGGCAGCCCUAACUUAGACUUAGACUUUUCUUGUUUUUUUUUUUUUUUUUUUAGGAUAGCUUUUAGAUACAUUUGGCCCAUUUGGACAUUUUUAGCGUGACUUGUAUGACUUGCAUGGUUACAUGGCUUUUGGGCUCGACUUUUUGUUUAUUGGUUUAUUUUUAUUUUAUUUCAUUUUAUUUAUUUUUACCGUUUCCUAAUUUAUUUACUUGCUUAUUUAUUCAUUCAAUGAUUUAACUUCAAGAUUUUCAUGUUUUUGCAAGGAAACUUACCAUUGGAGUUUAAGGAAGGUGGGACUCUCCUUGGAAGGUUUUGGAGGGGAAUUUGAAAUUGAGAAGAUUGCUUUUGAUUGGAAGAUUUAAAAAAAGGAAGAAAAGAAGAAAGGAAAUAGGAGAAUUUUCCUUUUUGGAAAGAAAUUUAGGUCUUGAGGGGUGAUAUAUAUAGGUGAGAAAAGGAAAAGAGGGGGAAGGAUUUUUUUUGGGGGUAGAGCACGCGUUGGAGGAUUGGGAGGAGAUUUGAGGAGGUUCUUUUUGGAGCAGCAGGCAUUGGAGGAAAAUUUGUCGGGGAAAAGAACAGAGGAAACGAAAAGAGCAAUUGCAACCAAGGCUGUCCAGGUAUGCACCUCGUUGCUUUUGGAAUUCUGACCUAUGUUUGAUUUUUUUCCACGUGAAUAUUUAAUGGUAUUGUUGAUUUUGUGUGGACGAAAGGGGCCACAAUUUGUUUUGUUGAGAUUGGUUGCUUGCUUGUUUGCCUUGUUUUGGUUUUGAUUGUCAUUGAUGUCUUCGGAAGCAUAUAACUCCAUGCCUGAAUGUGAUCAGAUUCUGUUCUUCAUUUAAAUCAUAUUCUGCAUUUGUCUCUCUGUUUUUAGCCCAUGGAUUAAUAUCUGAAGUGGGGGCUAUCCAUGUUUACUGAUCAACACCUUCUGCCAUUUCCUUCUCCAAGUUUUACUUCAAUUUUUUUUAUCUUUUAUCUGUAUUCUUUUCCUCGCAUGGUGUUCGAACCCUUGCUCUUGUAUUUGGGUAUACGUCGAGGAAUGAUGUAAGUGUCAAUAUGAGGGAUGAACUGUGCAACAAUCCCACUCAAAAAUAAUUGAUUCCGAGGUAUUGUAAUGGAUUGUGGAGACUGGAGGUAACGUCUUAUUGGCAUCAGAUUUGACCUUUCUAAUCCUAUGGGAUUCAAUGGCUCGUACAGAAUCGCAACUCCGGUGUUAUUUGCAAGCAUAGCUAAAUGGGUUAAAGCCAAGCUAAUAUUUUCUCUUGCUUCCGAAUGAUCGCGUUAUCAUUGGCCAACAUCACUUCUACCCUUUCCAAUUUUCCAAGCGCUUCUGACCGUAAGAAUAAUGGUCUCAGAGAAAGCAAUUUGACUUGUAAAACAGAGGGUUUCAGAGAGUGUCAGGAAGGUGAUUGAUUUGGGUAGCACUGAAAAAGGAUGGUUUGAACUAGGGUUUUGAAUCACGCCUUGAGUUAUUAGAGCAGUACGAAGAAUUGCGGGAUACCAGUGAUGGAUUGAUGGGUUCGGUGCCGAUUCUGGGUCGUAUUACAGAUUUGGGGCAGAGACGAUUGGUGAUGGCAAUGGGAUUAAUGCAAAUCAGGGAGAUGCUAUUUUUGAGGAAACGUAGUUCACGGGUUUUAGGAAUGUAGUUUCAGAAUUUUCAGAGAUUCUUGAUGUAUUGUGUUAGAAUAUUCUGAAACAGUUUCAGUAUACCGAAGGAUCCAAUACGGGCUUAGCAAUUACUAUAAGGAACAGAAAGAAGGAAAUUGAUGCGACUUCUGCGAACAAGUAAGUUCCAGAUACUUCGGUUGGAAGAACCUUCUCAAUAAGGUGAUCAAUCAGAGGAGGUAUCUUGCACAGUAGACCUUUCUGAUUCUUUAUGUUAUCAACUUGAUCUUGUCUCUUUUGUCGCAUAUGUCAAUUCUGCUCAUUUAUGGAAUUCAAAAUCCUCAUUGUUGUUGCCUGAAAAAGAAAUUACGGCAAUUGGAGAAGACAAUCAGUCUGACCCUUUUUGUUGAAAAUUUUGUUUUGGAAAGAUUUUCUAUUUAAACCUCCCUGCGGGUACUAUUCGAUGAAGUCUUUGGUAAUAAAUUUCAGGAUGCUAUUGAAUUGAUAAGUAUGUAGCCAGUUGCUUCUAAUUUAGCAGCCUGGAAGAGAAUGCGAGUUGUUGAAUUCAUGCACAUGCGAUAUGCUCUGGAAUCUGUGGUGCUUGCAGUUGGAGCUAUGGAAAGAAGUACAUCUUAUCAUCUACUAUUGGUGAGAGAUAUAUUGUUCUUGCAAUGAAGCACCCUGCUGUCUUCUUAGAUAGCAGGUACAUUGACAAUGGGGAUAAGGAUAAGAAGACUUAUACGUCUUCUUAGAAUAUGGAGGAUUCACUCAAUACAAAAGUCACUCUUUUCGUCUCUGGAAUUGAGAAACCACAGUUUAGAGGAUGGAAUUAAAGUUUUUAUGCCCCAAGUUGCAGUAGCAGUUCUGGUAAUACUCAAACUCAGAGCAUCACGGGGUAUGACAGGAUGGCUGGAAUGGUGAUUGGAAGGCUCCUGGCGUCCAGAGAUUCCCUAAGUAGCAGUGGAAGUUUACUACUGGUGUAGCCAUGAUUGAAGUUACAGCUCCAUGUGUAUAUGCUAUCAAAAGAAGAAGGAUACGAGACUCUGAUUUUCCAUACCACUGGAAUGGGUGGAAGGGCUAUGGAGGAUCUGAUCAGAAGGGGAUUUAUACGAUGUGUUCUGGACAUAACAACAACAGAGGUUGCUGAUUAUGUAGUUGGAGGUGUUAUGGCUUGUGACAAUUCCCACCUUGACGUCAUGAAGAUAAGAAAUUUGUCGGCUUUGUAGCAAACGAACUAAACGAAACAGCAUCAAAGGUAAUGUUGACCCGAAUGAUUAGGCUCAUAUUCAGAAAGACAGAAUUUGAUCCAGACUCGAUUUCCUCUGGUUCUGCUACAAAUAAAGAAGUUGAAUUUCUGGACUGCACAAGGACCUUUUAGUUCUGAUUUUUCUUUAGGUGCCAAUCUUACCACAAUGGAAGAUGUCCAGAAUAGUUUUAAUGCAACGCAACUUAGGCUUUGUGGAAGGUUAAGCAAUGUUGAUGGCUAUAUAAUGCCGAUCAUCUUCCCAAGUGUUAUUCUCUGUGGCUGAGUUGUUUUCUGAAGCUGAAACAUAAAGACCCUCUCAAUAAGGCCGCCUCUAUGAAUCUUGCUCAGCAUGCACUGAUCAGCAAUUUCUGGUGAGAUCUCAGCCAGUUCCAGCUGAUAAGCAGGUGAACCAGGCAGGAAGGACCAAUUGGCAAACACUCUUGGGCUUUCCUGGUGGGCAUGAAACCCAGAAUUGCAAUGGGGUAGUUCAGAAUCUGAAUCUAGUUCGACUUGGAGGUCUGAGUCAGACAUUAUAUAAUUAGGAUGGCAAAGAAGACUCCUUACCUACAGCGGCCCAAAUUUAUUAAGUCGUCCUUUGACACUAAAGAGAUCACCGGUUUGCCCUUGAUAAAUUAAUGUCAUCAUGAGCAGAUUUUGUUCCUAUUCUUUAGCUGAGAAUCAAAUGCAUCACACCAUCGAACAGUUGAAAUCUUUGAGUAGGAGCAGAGAAUGAUGCAGAACAGAGAAAACAAUGACCCAGGUCCAACAGGUCUCAUGAGGUUUGAUGGUGAGAUCCGUUCAGCAAUGUUGGGAAGCAACUGGAAAUAUGGGCCUCAUGCUGCUGCAACUCACUUAGACUACAUGGUUGAGUUUACAGUCACUGUGCCAAUUUUGAGUCUUGCUGGAACAAUGGAUAACUUACCAGCUGGUGAACCAUGGCUGCAGAAACUAAAAGCGGAUUGAGCAGGAUGCAACUACUCUCAUUCCAGGAAACAAAGAACUGAAACCACACGAGUAGGACCCUUUGAACAAAAAUGCUGGUAUCAAUACACAUCCUACGUGCCCAUCUAUUAUUCAAUCCAAUUCUGAAGUCCCAGUCAUGUCACCUAGAAAAAGCAAAGGAGAAAUUCAAAGGGAACCCUUGGGCUUGAAAGGAAAGGUUCUUAGUCUUGGAAAGGUUCAGAAAAGCCGGAAGGUGUAGAAAGAAUUCAAGCAGCCACAGAAGGCUUCCUCCAAGCUGAUAGUACCACCUAGCACAGGUUUCGGUACCUUAACCUAUGGAUAUAGUUUGCUCUUGAGAGCGUUCCAUACAUUCGAAACGGCAUCAAUAAGUCACUACUUUUGGAUCAGCACUUGGAACUGGAUCUUAGUACUGUCAUGCUUGGCUGUUGCUUUUGGUUUUAGAAACAUGAACUGCUUAGGUAACGCAUCUGGCUUGGCAGUUAUAAUUAUAAUGUCAGUCACCACCUGCCUAAUGUCUCUGGUUGCUGUACUGUGCCGACACCAGAAUGUCUCCUCUAUAAUUGGCUCCAUGUUCUUCAUUGGCGUAAUUGAAGCUUUCUAUUUCUCAGCAUGGAUCUCUAAGCCACUCCUGAGCAUGCGUGUAAGAAUGGAUAGCAGGGCAGAUUUUCAGGUUCCUGGUCAGAGUGGAAUAAUGGGACAGCCAAAUGAAGACGAAUUCCCCAUGAACUUCCAAAAAUAGACUUAAUGAUAAGAAGAGAGGUGAAAAAGAAUUCAGUGGCUAUUCGAGAUGACUUUUAUGGAUGAAUUCGGUAGAGAAUUGAAAAGAAUUCAAGUGGUUGCAUAUGUGGGUGAGAUUCAAUAGCGUUAACGGAUACUCUUGAUGGCUGAAAUUUAAAAGAAAUGAUAGACUACAUAAGUGAGGUGAUUGAAUUUUAUAAAUAUGAUUAUGGGUUUUGAAUUACAUCGAGAUCAGCACUUGUUGAGAUUAUCAUAUUUAUGCUGGUAACAUUGCAAUCAUAUACGUUUUCAUCCCAAGAGUUUGAUCAUGCGUCAAAAUAUCUAGAAGCAGAGCAAAUUGAAACCUUUUCAAAAUCAGCAGUGGACAGAUUCUGUCCUAAAACACUUGAAGUUGGAGCAUACUGAGGCAGUUUAGUCUUCUGAAAUCCAUACCUAGUUUCCUGAUGAUUCAAGUUCUUUAUUUGACUUUUCCUUUAUAGAGAAAGCUCCUAGUGGCAUUGACCAGCCAGGAAUUCACCAUAUGCUUCAUCAACAAUAAUGUGCAAUUCAGGAAAAACGAGGUUGGAUGGUCAGAAGAAGACUUUGAAACUAGUUCAGGAUCUCAAUCUAGUGAAUCUGAUUUCUCCAGUUUCAGUCCAGAUGAGCUUCUGCAGUUAAUUGGUGAUGCAUCAGUUAUGGGAAAGGUCCUUCAUCAACUAGCACUUCACCUUUAUAAGAAUCCAUCAUGAUUCUCAGCACUUGCUGUUGUCUAUUUUCUGACAUGUAUUAAGCAAAGAUUGGUCUGAAGAGAGAUAAUACAUCCUCUAUCUAGUACACAGAUUCAGACGCUGAAUUCCGUGAUUAUGUUAGUGAGGUCACGAGGGAAGUGUGUAGGCAUCACUAUGCAAAGUGCCUUGAAGUUGUAUCAAUUCGUUUGCUGGAUAAUCGCCCACAAAUUAGCAAAAAUCAUCUUUCAAAAUAUAUGAAGUAUCCUACGUUUAUAGGAGAGCAAUUGAUCAUUCAACACCAAAUUGUUAUCUUCAGGGAAAUGUUGAUAUGAUUGGAGGUGCAAUAGCAUUGACUUGAGAUAGUCAACAGUAUGUGAUCACAGAGUUAGGAUAUUACAACAAGAAGAGUCCAAUGGGCUUAAAUCUUUUUGACAGAAAUUCUCAUCUAUCUUGGACUUUAAGCUAGCGUCUGAUGAAAAACAUCAGAAUCUUCACCCUAUUCUAUGAUAGAUGCAUGCAUUGCAGUAUGCUCGAGAUCAUUGUAGGCCUUUAUCCGAGAAGAAACAGAAUAGAGUGAACCAGGUGUUGAAUAAAGCCCGUGAUGAUGCUGAAAGUAGUGCCUAGAAGAACUCGUUAGAAAGUAACAAAGGCAAUGUCCUCUUUCCUCUCCUCUGAUGUGCCUUCUCCUGUUUGGAGUAUACCAAUAAUUCGGAAACUGCACUCUUUAUCUGUGACUUUACUUGAUGGAAACAAAGGGCAAGAUGGGAAGCCUCACAAGGAAGAGAAGCCUCAAAGUCUAUAUGAGAAUUUAGAAGAUUCUUUUGCCACAAAGGCAGCAGAAGAAAUAUGCUUGCAACAGAAAGAACUUAGGGUAUUUGAAAUUUCUGGAUUGGUGCUGCUCAAUGAGAAUAUACAGAAAAUCAAUCCAAAUGAACCACUAAAAGAAGAAUGCACUACUCUAGGUGAAGUAUCAUGGUUAGAGAAUCACAGAAACGCGUCUGCAAUAAAACGCUCAGAUUCUCCAAUAGAAAGUGACAGAACCAUGAAGCUGCCAGUAGAGGUGCCUGAGGGAGCUGAGGAACCUGCAGAAGAGUAUGAAAACAACAAAGAACUGAUCAUAGAGAAAGAGAGAGACAUCAAGGAAUUUCCAGCCGUGUCCAUUGAAGUUGAAUAGGUUAAAUAGGAACGGCAUUCUGAGACAAUACUCGCUGAAAAUCCUAGAAUGACAGAUUCUGAAGUGCAGACUAAAAAUGUGAACCUAUAGGAUUGUGGAAGACUUCAGCAAAGACUCUAAAAGAUUUCCCAUCACAAAAGCAAUGGAAGCAGAGAUGCUACAGAAACAGAGUGGUAAAAGGAAAGUGGAUGUCUCUGGUUCGGUAUCUGAAAUAUCAAAAGAAAUUAAUAAGGAGGUCAUAGAAGAUGCCAGCACUUGCUCUAACAAUAUUGAUGCUGCAUCCGAAGAGGGGAAAACAGAAGAGUCAAGCUUGUAGGAAACUCAACUGAAUGACAAAUACAAAAAGAUCAUUAAGACUAGCUCAGAAGAUAAGACACUAUAAGCAAAUACCACAAAUGAAACUAGUCCACAGGCUGAAGAGGUUGACAGCAUGAAGCUUGAAGAAACUUUUGAAUUGAUGUCUCAACUUCCAGUUAAGGCAUGUGAGAACACAAACAAGGAGAGUGAAACAGUGGAAAGGUCGAUUGAUAAUGUGCUGAAGAAACCGAUUAAAUCUUCUGGUAUAGUAUCAGAAUCCCAAGAACAAUGUGCUGAAGAAACUGAUUAGACCCUUAAGCUCUUCUCUAGCAGGGUCUUUGAUAUCAAAUGCCUGUCAGAACCCCCAUUCAGUAAACUGCUUCAAUUUGAGCUCAGGAAUCCAAGGAAGACACGGAUAAGGGAAAGUUGAUUACGCCAGAAUCUGUAUUUCUCAAGAGCAACUCAAGUUUACUGGAACUCUUCACCCUUCAUUGGAAUUCAAUAAAACUUUGAACAACAGAGAGCCACAGAAAAGUACUAAAGGAGGGCAGAAUGUAUUUUGGGAUUCAACAUCAGCAGGAUAGUCUCAAAUCUUAUUCCCAGGCUCCACUCCAUCAUGGCAACCUUGCUAUACACACCCUCUCCUCUAUUUACUUUUGUGAUUGGGAACUUACUAUUUUAAGUUGAAUUUUUGAACCAUUGUUCAACUAAACAUUCCCAGCUUUGAAAAAUCCAUCUUAGGAGCAUCUAGGUAUAAAAUCCCAAUUUUAACAUGCUAUUUGCUGCCAUUUUCCUCCGGGCAUGCACUUUCACUAUUUUAUCCGAUUUUUAACUAUUUUCAUGAUUUUCUCGAUUUUCUCAAGCAUGAACAAACUUCAUGAUUCCAAACAAUGGAAUUAAUAGAAUAAAUUCAUGCAAAAGUAAUCAGGGCAUUGGGGGGAGGCCCGACAUUCAUAAUAUUCUCUUCAAUAGUGUCUUGUUUGAUAUUUGAUUGAUUGUGCUUCCUCUUUGUGGUAUAUAUGAGAUUAUUUUGAAUUAGUUGUUGAGUUAAUUUUGUUUCCCAUAGAGGAUUAUUAACUCGCUAAUCAGGUACGCUCUUUCUACCACCACACUUUCCAAAAUUUCAUGAAUAUGAGACAUAACCAUAUUUGAUGCCAUAAUUGAUUGCUUUGAUGCUUGUUGGAUCGUCUUUGAUGAAAAUACAUAUUAUGUGUCAUAUUUCCAAACUAAUCUCUCAUGUUUUGUGAUAGUGUUUGAGAAGCCGUUCAGGUACGCACUUCGACUCUCUCUUAUGGUUGGUUUUCUUAUUAGGCAUGCAAUAUUUGAAAUCACCUAGCCUACUCAGGUAUCCAUAAUUAACUGAUUAAUGGCCACGCUUCCCUUAACUUAGUCAGUAGAGACCUCUUUAGGGCUUAGAGGGGUGCUACCUCCUAGAGGUACCUUCCCAAUAAGUAACCUGAUCCCCGAACCAAGACUUGGGUUUUCAAAGACACGCUUUUCCAAAAAUUAUGGAGUCAUUUUUUUAGGGUUUUAUUUCUUGUUUUAUUUUCCCUUCAAAAAUAAAAAUAAAAUAAGUGGCGACUCCAACUUUUUCAAAAAUCAAUUUUUCACAAUAAAAAGCGAGUCUCGUCGAUCGAGUGGGGACGCACGUGAAAAAUGCGGGUCCACAGUCAUGGCCAUUUGAUGCAUGGGGACUUGACGUGGUCAGACCCAUUACUCUUAAAUCCUUUGUUGGACAUGCUUACAUAUUGCAGCAACAUAUUAUUUUUCUAAAUGGGCAAAAGUUGUUCCACUUAAAGAAGUGAAUAAAGAAAAUGUAGUGAACUUCAUUCGAAGUAAUAUUAUCUAUCGGUAUAGGGUACCAUGAUAUAUAAUCACUGACAAUGGGAAACCCUUCUAUAGCAAAUUGAUGAUCAAUCUUUGUGAGAGGUUUAGUUUCAAACAACACAAUUCAUCAAUGUACAAUGCACCGACCAAUGGUCUCACAGAAGCAUUCAACAAGACUCUUUGCAACUUAUUGAAGAAAAUUGUUGAUAAUUCAAAGAGGGAUUGACAUGAAUGAGUAGGAGAAGCACUUUAGGCAUAUCAAACAACAUAUCGAACGCCUACACAAGCAACCCUUUAUUCCCUUGUUUAUGGUGUAGAAGUUGUAUUGCCCCUUGAGCGUCAGAUCCUUUCAUUAAGGAUUUCUAUACAUGAAGGACUAACUAAUGAAGAUAAUGCCAAGUUACAUCUUCAAGAGUUAGAAGCACUAGACGAAAAGUGACUCGAAGCCCAACAACACUUAGAGUAUUAUCAAGCACACCUUUCAAAAGCUUUAAAAAAAAAAGGUUUGUCUUCGGUCUUUUCAAGUCGGUGAUCUAGUUCUUGCCAUUCGUAGACCCAUUAUCACCACACAUAAGACUAGGAGUAAAUUUACAUCAAAAUGGGAUGGACCUUAUGUGGUGCAAGAAGUCUACACCAAUGGUGCUUAUAAGAUCGUCACUGAAGACGGAUUAAGAAUUGGCCCUAUCAAUGGAAAAUUCUUAAAGCGUUAUUAUGCUUGAGUCACACUACACCCUUAGCUUGCAUGAGCAUAAAUUAUGUCUGGAGCACCAAAAAAAAAAUAAAAAAAUCCGCUAAGUCGAAAACCUAAAAGGACGCCUUAGGUAAAAAUUAGGACAUAUGCUCACAAGAUUAAAAUUUUCUUUUAGCCUUGGCAAAAGUUAGAGCAUGAAAAAAAAAGGUGCUGCAUUUGACUUGAUCCUCUCUCUUUGAAAGGUAUGUAAGCAACUUGGGGAAACCACCUAAGUUCACUCACUACCAAAAAAAAAAAAAAAGGUCUCAUUUUUAUUAAUAAAUAAAUCUGACUAACAAAUGCUAGACUUUAUUACAUCUUAAUAAAAAAAAAUGAAUGAAAGCAAAAAAAAAAAGGGAGCCAAAACUAAGUAAAAAGGUACAAUGAUCACAUCCACACCAAGCAUGCAAGCUCGUCACGUUGAGUCCUUAAGGCUUCUUGAAGUGUCUCUAAAGUUUUGACAUCAACAUCAGUAAGCACAAGGGUUUGGGCGAUAAUGACAUGUUAUUUCCUCAAACGAGAAACAUCAUUAUGUUUAUUGGCUAUAAUCUCAUCAAUCUCCAAGAUUAAGUUAUGAAUGUGCUCUUUUUGUUUACCUAGUUGCUUAAAUUCCUUCUUAAGUGCUUCCUAUUUAGCAUCGAGAGUAGCUAAGUCUACCUUUAAUGAUUGACGAUGGUUUUCCUAUAUACACUUAGAGUUUAAAGCAUCCACAAUCUGAGAUGCAAUAAUAGCUAAACGUUCGCUUUGUACUUCUAGAGAUAUAUUUAUAGAAUGGGUGCGUCACAUUGCAUUGAGGUGAUCUACACUUUCCAUGUACUUCUCAAUCUGAGACUUUAAUGGUGAAGGGUUCACUCCAAUCUUUGUGAUAACAUUGAAAAGCUCAUCAAUUUUUCCUCUUAAUAAUGGGAGACAUUUAUUUGGAAAUUUUAAUAAUCAUCACCUUAGUGCCUUCUCCUAUCAUAAGUGCUUCUUGGCGUUAGGCAUUAAGGAUGAUUUGUUUGACGUCGAAUGUGUGAAUGGAAGUAGAAGGAGCAACCACGGUAGGACAUGUAGAUUGUUGUUCAGUAAUUAAACCUAUAAAUGCUAAAAUUGUUAAUUCAUCAUAUGUUGUAUCUCUAAUUGUGGUCUUUUGACCUCGAGAUUCAAUCAGAACAUCACUUAAGAUGUUAGUAAUACCUUUAUCACCCAAAUAAGAAUGAGACAAAGGUAAUGGGAUGAUAGAGUGAUUAUCUUGUUGUAUGGUCAAGGUAAAGGGUGCUGACUCCCUAAUAGCAAUAGUACUUUCGAACUGAUCCUUAGGAGAGGACUCAUCCCCUUCAUUGACAAAUUGGUUGUCACCCGCCACCUAAGGCAAAUAAUUAUUUUUGUUAGUAUCAAUGCAAAAAAAAAAAAAAAAAAACCUUUUCACCAUCAAGUUCCAUCGCUUGAGUAGAAGUUAGGACGUCAGCAAAGAAGACAUUUACAUCAAGAUGAUAAGAGUUAGUCUCAUCAUAGUACAUAGGGUUGGGUCUAAUUUUUUUCCAUUUGAAGUAACAUUCACUUGUAUCUUCAAAGUUUUUGUUUGAUACAUAAAGACCCUGUGCAUUGUUAUGUUGCUUAAAAGUCUUGUGACAGUGAGUAUUACCACCGUUGAAAAUAGUUUCCUCAUGCUCUGAGUGUGUGGAGGUAUUAGUUUGAUGUCCACCCAUUGAGCGCUUAGAAGAAGCUCUUGAAUCAUCAGGUAAAUCAUCAAAAUCCUUCUCAACAUUGUCUCUAAUAUUCCCCUUAGUAGAAACACUUAAGUCAACCUUGCGCGUUCUACUCUCUAAAGAUCUAGAGGGUAUUUGCCAAGAAGAAUUAGGAGGGGGCUCCAUACAAGUAGUAGUAAGAAUUUCUUUAUCAGGAUUACGUACUCUGAUCCACCAAUCCGCAUAAGCCAAUCUGGUAUAGUAACUUUGGAGUAGGUACCAAGCCUAGUACAUGACUGCCAAUGUUGAUACACCGCCUUUAAAGUUCUAGUGUGAAAAAUCUCUAGCGAACUCUCCGGAAGGUCUUGAAGAUAUACAAACUGCCUAGAAAACCGAUGAGGAUAAUACAGUUGGAUUACCCAAUGAUUACCUUGUCGCAAAGAUAAAUAGUUAGAGUGAAGACUUAUGAGAUAAGAAGCUUUGGUAACACUAAUAGAUUCAUUAUCAGUCCAGUGCACAUGCCUCUUGUGGCGCAAUGCCAAGUGGUCUAGCUUUACGCCUUUGCAAGACAUUAUCAAAGCCUAAGCUUGCAAAUCAUCAAAACACUUAACAAAAAACUCGCCAGUGUAAUAAGUCAUCCGUGGGGGAUGGCUCCAAGAAGGAGAAAUGAAAUGGGUAUCGAAAUAUUCAUUUAACCAUCCGUAUAAGUAAUGAAUAGGGAAAAUAGAUGCAUUAGUCCCAGGCUUUGAAGAAUAAGUGAUUUUAUUUAAGCUGUUGUAAAUACUUCCUAACACCAAAACAACAAGGCUAAAUGUCUCACCUUGAGCCAUUUUACUAGCUACCUUGAAGACUUUAGGAUGAAUCAAAUUGACACCUCCCAAGGAAGAACGAACUUGUAUAACCAACAUGCUAAGAAAGCGCCUAAGUAUCCUUCACAUCUGCCUCAGCUAUGCCAAGGUUGUAAAAAAUUUCCAUCUCUGACUGAAUACGAGAUUUAAUAGGAUCAAUUUCCCCAGAGGGGUUAUGAGUCUCCUUAGGCCUUUACGCCUUAUUCCUUGUACUUUUAUUUGGAAGUUUUGCAUACUUCAUGGAGCCUUUAUACCAAAAUGACACCCAAGAGGCUAACUUGACUGAAGACUUCCCUUUCGUGUUAGAGCAAAUUCGAUGAUAUGCAAGGAAUAAGUUUUGACAACUUGGUGGGAGUGAGGGCUUUGUCACAUCAUUAGAUAACUCUUCCAUGCUCGGUACCAUCUCAUCAUAAAAAGAUCCAAUGAUGGGUAGUCCAACAAUAUGAUACAAGUCCCAAAGAGAGAUGGAAACCUCUCUAAUGGAAGUAUGCAAGGUGUUAGUGGUAGGACACCAACGUUCACAAAAGGCCCUAAUCACAGAGGCAUGACAAUCAUAGCUGAAUAAGGACGCAAAAAUAGCUUCAUAAAGCUUACAUCCUUUAAGAAAUGGUCCAUGCCGGUCCAAUACCUCCUCUACCCAUUCCCAAUAUCCUUCGAUAAAGAAAUAUUCCCUUAGUACUUUGAAUGAACUUCCCCAUUUAGCUUCUCCGUCAUGAACACAAGAACCAAACUAUCCAAAUUCAUCAUGAACUUUAGUAGUAGUUGGGUGAGAGGAAUUCAACAACAGAACAUCAGAAACAAGUUUCACCUUAUUGAGUUUUGAAUUGCCGAUAUUUGUAAGCUUGCAAGAUGCAACUCGGGACAAGGAAGAAAUGUGUAAUGGGUCCUUUGUCACUGGUACUGACAAAGAUUGAAGGUCAGUAAGUGACUUAUGCACUGACAAGGUAGUCCCCUCCUCAAAAUCUUCACUAUCAUCCUCAAGAAUAGUUACAAUCUUCUAUUUGAAACAUUUGAAGAACGCCAUCCUACAUAAAAAGGAAAAAGAAGGUAGAGAGAGAGAUAAAUAAAACAUGGGUAUAAGUUUUUAGAUACCACUAUGCAUUUAAGUCAGAUCAAUUCACAUGAGUGAAGACCUUAGCACUUAAGUCAUAUAAAGUGUUGAAAGUACAAUACCGCAUAGCAUCAGGGCCAUAACUUGUUUGCAUAGAUACCGAGUAUUAUUCUAGUUUUAAUUAAAUGUUAAAACUUGAACACAACUAUGCAUUCAAGUCAAGACAAUUUGCAUAGGUGAAGACUUUAGCACAUAAGUGUUGAAAAUACAACACCGCAUAACAUUAGGGCCAUAACUUGUCUACAUAGAUAACAAGUAUUAUUAUGGUUUUAAUUAAAUAUUAAAACUUGAACACCACUAUGCAUUCAAGUCAAUCCAAUUUGCAUGGGUGAAGACUUUAGCACAUAAGUGCUAAAAAUACGACACCGCUUCGCGUCAAGGCUACGAAUUGAUUACAUGAGGGUCAAACUUUAAAUAUUCAUAUGUUUUUUUAUUUUUUAUUUUUAUUUAUUUUUUAUUUUUUAUUUUAUGGAUAUUUAAGUUUAUUAAAAAUUUCCCUCAAGUACUAAGGUAAUUUAAAAAUAAAUAAAUAAAUAAAAUUAAAUUACCUGAAAUCAAAUUCGUCUCUACGAAUAAUGGAGGCUAACAUGUGUUCGAAAAAGGUGAAUCUUUUUCUUCCUUGACAAAAAAAAAAUGAAUAAAAAGAUCACGUGUCAACAUAUAUAUAUAUAUAUCCAUCCAUUUUUUCAGGAGAUCACGUGAAUGGAUUUUAUAUAUAUAUACAUAUAUUAAAUCCUCAUCCUUACAUCAAUAUAUAGAUAUAUAGCCUAGUGAUGACGUCUCCCAAGGCAACCAACAUUGAGGCUCUGUCCCCAUUGACUUCGACAUACACCCACCAAGCUCCAAAAUAUAUAUAUGCAUUUAAAAAAAAAAUACUUACAGGUUUGAAGAGGUGAAGACUUCUUACGGUAAUUCAAGUCAAGUUUCUUAAAAUUGGGUUGAAAAUCACCCAAAAAUUCAAAAAAAAUAAAAGAAUAUGAAAGGAUUCAAGUCGGGUUUCUCAAGUUGGGUCAAAGAACACUCAAAGAUCAAAAAAGCUCUUUGAAAAAGUUCAAGUCAAAUUUCUUAGCUAUUGUCCCUUUUAUAUAUAAAAAAAACGUAUAUGGGGAUGACAAAUUGGAAGAUGAUUGAAAGUGUAAAGUAAGAAGGAAAACAAAUUGGAAGAGGAUUCAAAGUGUAAAGCAAAAAAGGAAAACAAAGUGGAGUUUGGAAAAAAGUGGGAAAGAAAUAUUUUUUUUGGAAAAAAAAAAAACUUCAAGACUCACCCCAUCCACAUGACAAUGCAUAUAUGUGAUGCGUCUUGAAGUGGGGGUAUUUGUAGACAUAAAAAAAAUUAGUGGAUUAAAUUACCACUAAUUUUGUUUUCAAAAUGAAUAAAAAAAAUCCUCUUAUGGAUAAGUUUCUCUAAUCUCCAACUAUAGAAAGGAUAAUAAUAACAAUAAAAAAACUAUUAUUAUUAUUAUUAUUAUUAUUAUUAUUAUUAUUAUUAUCUUGUUGGUAAAACCUUCCAGGAUUUUUUUUUUCUAAAAUCAAGGAACUAAAUCCUUUAAAUUAAGCAACUAAACUCUGAGAAUUUGAAAUUCAAAUUUUAUAUCUUCACCUAUAAAUAGAGGUGUCUUUUUUCAAGAAAGGAGGGGAAGAAAUCGAGAAAAAAAAAUCCAGAAAGGAAAAUCUUAAGGAGGAAAUCCAAAGGAAACUUUGUAUGGGAAAAGGGGCUUCACAACAAAAGAAAAAGCUUCAUCAAAUUUCUCUGCAAGUUCGGUACAUGGUAGAACUGCUAAACACGCUCACCGCUAUUUAACGAGUUCAUUAAGGAAUAAGCCACUUGUGGCCCUCAAUUGAUCUUCGAAAUUAAGAAAAUGUCAUCGUUGUUUUCCAAAGUGUGAUCAAGAUGAAAGAAUCAGAGGGAUAAUAUUUUUUUGGAAAUAAUAUUAUUUUUGAGAUUGUACCCACAAUAUUUUUAAUUUUAAUAAAUAUUUUGUUUGCAUUAUUUUCCUAUUUGUUUUGCUAAUUUUGUAGGACCAUUUACGAAAUUUAUGUGUACAUACUCUUUUAUGAACAAGGUAGUGUAGAAAAAGUGUAACACUUUUUUUUUUAACUCAGGUAACUCAAGUAAUAUAUCAUUUCUACCAUAGUGAAUCCAUUCUUCUUCUUUAGCGUAUAAAAAGUGACUCCGUUCUUCUUUAGCACAUUAACUUGAAUACGCAACUCAAGUAAUAUAUCAUUUCUACCAUAGUACUUUUAGCAUUUUAGUGGUAUUUUUUUUCUCAUAAAAAUGUGUACCCUUUGAAUAAGCAACCUUUGAGGUGCACAACUUAAUGUUUUAAGAGGGUGCACUAUUUUUUCCUAGCGCAUUUGAAAUGUGUACAACUUCACUAUGCAAAAAAACAUUAUUUUUUAAUAAAAUUAAGAUCAAAUUAAUAUAAAUGAUUAAAUACAAUUUUUAUGAAAAAAAUAUAUUUUAUUUUUUAUUUAUAUAAAUAAAAAUAAAAAAUUUAAUAAAACAAAAUAUUAGAGCCACAACCAAUUUUCUAUCUUAUAUAAUUAAAAAUAUUAAACAUUUUAACCAAGAAGAAAAUUAAAAUUGUGAUCAAGUUACAUCCAUAAGCAAAAAGUUAAAAUAGUGAUUAUCGACUCUAACUUUCACAUAAAAAUUUAACAAUUUUUUAAAAAUAUAAACAAUAAAAUAAUAUGACAAUGUAAUAGGAUUAUAAAAUAAAUAGAUAUUUUAUUUAGGAGGAAUAUAGAAAAUCUUAUGUCCUAAGCUUCUAAAUUUGUUCAUAAUGAAUUUAUUUUUAUAUUAAAUUUGUUUUCAUUAAUUAUUUCUUAUAUAUUUUUAUUUUGUGUCUAGAAUAUCCAUAAAUAAUUGAAAUCGGUAAAUGUAAAAGAAGAAAUAAUGAAAAAAUAAAAUUAAAAAGAUUUCAUGAAGUCAACACAUUAGAAAAUAAGAACAGAAAGGUAGAGAUAUUACGAAGGAGAGGAAAAAGAAAAAAGAAAAAUCAUAUGACAUGGUUGUCAUAUUAAAGUAAAAAGAAAAAAAAAUAAAAUUUUGUAGUAAUUAACUGUGAAAGGAGAUCGAGGGUUACAGGGUAAUUUUAAAAUUUUGAUGAUUUCACUAUUGAAAUACAUGUUUCUAGAAUUAAUUUUUCCAAGAUGUAUGUACUUUAAAAUUUAAAAUUUAAAACUUUAAAUUUUUUAUAUUUUUUAGUUGUUGCAUGAAUAUUACAUCAUUCUCCAUGAAUAGAAUGUGAUAGGGCAUGGUUUUUAAAUCACUUUUAUAAUAAUUUUUUUAUAAUUAACAAGUUUGGCAAAAGAUAUUCUUAAAUGAUUUAAUUUAUAUUCAAUGCUAGUAGUCAUUUUAAUUGGAUAAACUUUUCAAAAGCAAAUUUGAAGAAUUUGGGUCAAAUGUAAUGUGCAUUUUUGUAGGGCCCUCCCAAUGGACCUCGUAAUGCCAAAACUUCUGGCCUUCAUGUUUUGUCAACUUGUUCACACAAUAAGCUCACGAGCUUUACCUUGCUUUAUCUUGUGAGACUUUGAUAUAUGCUUUGUUUGUAUUAAAGAGGUAAAAAAGUUCUUAACCACCAUUCCAUUUUGCACUAAAAAAAAAUUGAUAUAGACAUGCCAAUUGACUUUGUGUGUCAAAUAUUGUCAUGAUGCAUAUGAGAAAAUAAUGUGUCAUUUGACUCCUUUGAGUCAAAUCUUGCCUUUAAGUACAGAGAAAUAUUUGAGAAAUCGCAAGCAUUUUUUCUUUGUUGUUCAUUAAUAUAUGGAAUAGGUUGACCUUUGAAUUAGUCAAGGACAUGGUAGGUCUUUUGGUCUUAUUUUUACUCAAAUUUAUUUGACUCAAAACUGAAGUAGCAUUAAAAAUGAUACUUCAUGUGGUUGUAAAUUUACAUUUCCUAAGGGUUUUCUUCCCUAUUUGAACCAAAAAUUGAUUUUUAGGGUUAGAGGAACACCUCCCCUACAACAGUCAGACAAACUCCAUUGAGUUCCUCUUCCAUUCAAAGAGUGGGUGUGUUUGUUUCCCAAGAAAAUCUAACCCAUUUUAAGUUCAAAAUAAAUUUUUAUCAAAUUUUUCUUUAGAGCUUGGGUUGAUUCAUUUGGUUCUUCCAAAGAUGAGAACUUUUAACUCAAUGACCCAAUCAAAUUACAUGCAUAAUAACAUGAAAAUCUAGAAACUUAAGUAUUACCGUUUCUAAAUAUGACAACUUUUAAUUCAACAACCCAAUCAAAUAAUCAUGCAUAAUAACGAGAAAAAUCUAAAAACCUAAGAACUACCGUUUCCGAAGAUAUGGACUUUUAAUCUAAUAAACCCAUCAAAUAACAUGCAUAGUAACAAGAGAAUCUAAAACCCCUAAGAACUAACAUUGCCAAUUUAACCCAAUAACCCAAUCAACUAACAUGCAUAAUAACUAGAGAAUAUAAAAAAACCCUAAGAACUAAUCAUUGAAACAUGAAAAUUUUGAUAGUAUGGGAAUAACCUAUAAACCUUAAAAUUAUCAAACUUUGAAAAGUAAGAUUUUUAAUAAAAUAGCAUUCUAACACCAUGAAUGAUAACUAGAAAAUUUAAAACCGAACCAAAAUUUUCAAGAUAAGACUUCUAAGAAAAUAGCAUUUUGAUAACAUGAAUAGUAACUAGAAAAAUUAAAACCUAACCAAAAUGUUCAAGAUGAGACUUUCAAUGAAAUAGAAUUCUAAUAUCAUAAAAUAUGUUCCAAAAAAUUUAAAACCUAACCAAAUUUUUGUAUAACCAACUUUUCAAGAUGGGAAUUUUUAAUAAAGUAACAUUCUAAUAACAUAAGAAGUGUACUUGAAUAUGUCUAAGUAUGUUGUCCUAAAGGAGCACUUAAAAAGAAGCUAUUCUAAAAAGAGAAAAGGAAAAUCCUAGAUCUAACUUGGGGUUUCCAAGGGUCACAAUGAGGGGCUAGAUAAAUCCCUCAACUAGAGUCUUUGAGAUGGCUAAAAAAGGUAAGUUGUGUGAGUUGAAAAUGGGCCACCAGGGAGACUACUGCAAAGUAUGAAAAUAGCACUUAAUAGGGCAUGUGCUAACGUAACAAAUGGAAAGUCUACACUUGCAUGCUAGAUUUAUUCUAAGUUGUGCUCACAUCUAUUUUGCAAGGUUGUUUUAUUCAUCUCAUGGACCCUAAGGAUGAAUGAAUGAAAUGCUUUUAUUAAUUCAAUUGAAUGAAUGAAUAUGAAUGGAUAUGAUCUUUGCCAUUUGAUUCUCUAGUUUGGGUUGUGCACCCCAUGAGGGGUACAAGAUUUUUAUUUUAUUGUAAAAAUAUUUUCUUUUCAAUAGAUGGGUUGUAAGCUCCAUUAUAGGAGCAUAUAAUUUUAUUUUUUAUUUUUUUGAUUGUAAAUUUUUUUUUUUAUCCAUUUAUGGUGACCCAAAAGGAAAGGAAAAAUUCUUAAAUUUUCAUUUUUGAGAUCCUAUGGUGACUUAAGAAAAAAGAAAGAUUCUUGAAAGUUCUUGAUUUGAGAUCCUAAUUUGACUCAAAAUUGGGACAAAUCAUAUAUGGUUUUGAAGCUUAGGAAGUUAGGAAUCCAAUGCUUCAAACAAUUUUCUAUUCGGAGUUGAAAUGAGGAAGAUAUAGUCAAUUGAAGUAAGGUUGUACAAAGAGCAUACUAUUUCAGAAUUAAGUUCGGGCCAAAUUGUUUUUGGUUAUUUGGGCUUCUUUUUUAGCUUUUUUUUUUUUUUUUUUUUUUUUUGUGGAAAUUCGACAUUUUAGGGUUUUGUCAAUUUUUACUAACUAAUCUUUGGUUGUAAGAAUAUUUUGAUAAUUUGAAUUUUGUCCAAUUUUUAAUUACCAAAUAUGCAAUAGGAUCCCUAAAGUUCAUGAGAAAUAUUUAUUUAAUUAUUUCCUUGUUUUUAUUUUAUGUUAUCUUUAUUACUUGCUUAUGUGACCUAAAAUAGGAUAAUUUGGUAUUCUUAAUUAGAUAUAAAUUUUCAUGGGCUUUUUCAAAAUAGGAAAACUUAUUUAAAUUGGAAUGUGUAUUGUUAGGAAAUUUAUUUUAAGAAAAGAUAAGUUAGAAAAGAAUUAAGAGUUUCCAUUCCUUUUAAAAAUUAAUUCUUAAUGAUUUUAAUUUUAUUUAAAAUUUUCUUAGAUCUUUGAGAUCUCUAAGAAUAAAAUCUUUCUUUUAAUGAAAAAACUCUUGUUUUUCCAAAUCUUUAUAAAAUAAUAUUUUUCCUAUUUUGCACAAGGUUUUGAUUUAAAGAAAAUAAGUUGAUUUUGAAAAUUCAUAAUAGAUAAUUUAUAAUUAAGAAGGUUACCAAAAUAAGUAUUCAAACCUAAAGAAAAAUGUUUUGGUAUUCUCUAUAAAUUUUCAUGAAAAGAUUUUUCCAAGAUUAUAUAUUUGAAUUGGUUGUUGCUAAUGAGAAUCUUAUUCAUUUGGAACUAUCAUUUUGAUUUUGGUAUAGAUGCUUCUCCAAGCUACUACACCAUACCUAAGAUGGUCCUUCAGGCUCUCUCCUCCUGAGAUAAGGAGGAAACCCCUAUUUGGAUAUGGAUAGUUCAAAAAUAAAGACUAAGAGAGCAAUUUUGUUUAGCAAACGAGUCUUAGUUUAAAAGAUAAAUAACGGAUUUGAAAAACCUCAUGAUAAGAAGGGUUUUCAAUCUUGUAUGUAGAGGUGUCUAAUGGGUCGUGUUGGGCUGACAUGACCUAAUAUUGAUCGGGCCAUUAGGGGCCAAUGUGUCGGGUUGGGUCGACCCAUGCAAGCCAAAUAGGUGACUCGACACGGCCCAUAAGUCCAUGGGCUAAUCGUGUCAUGCUGGGUCGGGUCGUGCUGUGCCGGUGGGCCAUGGCCCAUGGGCCACUCACUUUGUUAAAAAUUUUAAUUUAAUUUUUUAAGUCAUUUUUUCUUAAGUUUUUUCCUUAUUAAAUAAAUUUUAUUUUUGUUACUUUAAACACCUCUAAUAAUUAUAUUUUUAUUUUAUUUUUUAUAUACUUCUAAUAAUUAUACUUUUUAUUUUUUACAUUUAUAUUUAUUGAGUUUGUAAUUGUAAAAUUUAUAGAAAUAUUAGUUUUUUGUUUUUAAAAAUAGUAAAAAAAAAUUACAUUUGAAUUUGUUUAUUUUAUUUUUAUCAAAAUAACAAUAAAUUUAAAAUAAUGGAAUAUAAAAGGAAAUGAAAUAUAAAAAAAUAAUUCUUUUAUUCAAUAUUUCAACAAAUUACAUGAAAAAAUAAUGAGAAAAAAAAAACAAAAGUGAGAAUUGCAUCACUAUAGUUUGAGUACAUCCCAACUAGGUUGGCACCCACCCAACUAUCAAUCAUAUGCAUUACUUAACCUUUAAAAAUUAACUACAUUUAAUAGAUUUAAAAGAAACGAACAACAUAUAAUUCUUCAAUUAUCAUAUUCACUUUUGUCUUCUUAUUCAAUCUUCAUUCUUAUUUUUUCAUCUUCAAUCAUCAUCAAUCUCUUGAACAUCAUUGUUUGCAUUGAGAUGCAAUUUCUUGAAGGCUUCUUUAAGUUCAUCCUCUAAAGUUUGACAUGAAAAAAGUAAAAAUAGUUAUUGAUUUACUUUUUUUACCCCUCAAACUAGUUGUAAUAUAAUUGUUAAGAGGGGUAUUAUAGACAUUUGACAUGUAAUAAAAAGUAAACACUAAAAGGUGAAAUUUAAAAGGGCCAAGUGGGUCGACACGGUGGGCCGACGGGUUGUUUCUUUAGGCCUAGCAUGGCCUGCUCCUUUGGGUCGUGUUGUCUUAGCUUGCUAUAGUGUUAGGCCAUACUGGCCUUGCCUGACCUUUUGGCGUGCCGAGCCACGGGCCAAAAUGGGCAGCCCGACCCAAUGACCCAGAUUUCAUUAUACAUUUGAAUGGUUUGAAUUGGAAGUUUGAUUUAGGACAAAAUCAAUAACCAUUAAAAAAAGAAAGAAUAUUGUAACACCGUUCAUACCUAUUGACUUUCGUUUUUAAUACUAUUGAAAAUUUUCACGAAUGAGAAGGCAACAAAGCAAGAAUUCUUAAGAUUCUAACUAUGCUACAGUCAUGAAAGAAGAAAAAGGGGGGAGAAGUAAUGUUUUUAUACUACAACCCACAAUCAUGAAAUAAGAAAAAAGAAAAUUCCAAAAAAUAUAGACCAAACAACAAGAACUUGCUUAGGCAUCUUCUAUACGUGAUCCUUUCUUGUCACUUGUUUUUUUUCCAUACUGGAAUGUAAAAUCCUACCAUGAGUGUUAAAAUAAGAUUGCCAUACUUAUUAACCAAUUAGUGAGUAAUUCCUACAAGUGAUAGUUUCUUAUAAUACACAUAUUUCUUGUUUACUUGAGCGCUAGUAGUAAUGAUCAUAAUUUUAAUAUAUUGAGAAUGUAAAAUUUUCUAGCAACAAAUAUAUUUAGCCCAUUGUAUUACAAAAAAGUACUAAAUGAAGAAAAAAAAUAGAGAUGGAAAGAAAUCUAAAUUCUCUUUAGUUCAAAGGUAUAAAAUAAAAUCAAAUAUAAUAAAAAAAUUCAAAAUUUUUCAAUCUUUAUGUAGAAUAGAAAAAAGAAGAAGAAAAAGGAUACUCUUGGUGAAACAUGUAAGAAAUGUUAAUUGAAUUUAAAUUUAUUUUUCAUUUUAUUAUUUUUUUAAAAACUUUUUAUUGUUUUAAAUUAAGAAAUAUACUAAAGACAUAGGUUUUAGUGAUUGCCAUAUGUUGGUAAUAAGCAGGGAAUGUCACUAAAAAAUACAAUAUAUUUUAAUUAAAUGUUACCAAGUAUUGUAUAAUGAAUGAGAGAUGAAUGUUCAAAGAACUCAACCCCUUUUUCUUUUUAGAAAAUCCAUUAGAAAAUUUUUCUUGAAGACUUGAAUAAGAUUUCCUUGGAAAGCAAACAACCUCCAAAAGAGGAAGGGAAUGAAGAGCUCACUCACCGAUUGUUGCUCUCUACAAGCUCUCUCCUCCUGAGAUAAGGAAGAAACCCCUAUUUGGAUAUGGAUAGUUCAAAGAUAAGGACUAAUUAGAAAACAAUUUUUUUAACACACGAGUCUUAGUUUAAAAAAUAAAUAACGGAUUUGAAAAAUCUCAUGAUAAGAAGGGUUUUCAAUCUUGUAUAUUUAUAUUGUCAUUCAAUGACUUAAAUUUCAUUAUACAUUUGAAUGGUCUGAAUUGAAAGUUUGAUGUAGGACAAAAUCAAUACCCAUUAAAAAAGGAAAGAAUAUCGUAACACCAUUCAUACCUAUUGACUCUCCUUUUUAAUACUAUUGAAAAUUUUCACAAAUGAGAAAGCAACAAAGCAAGGAUUCCUAAGAUUCUAACUAUGCUACAAUCAUGAAAGAAGAACAAAGAAAAUUCCAAAAAUAUAGACCAAACAACAAGAACUUGCUUGGGCAUCUUCAGUAAGUGAUCAUUUCUUGUCACUUGUUUUUUUCCAUAUUGGAAUGUAAAAUCCUACCAUGAGUGUUAAGAUAAGAUUGCCAUAAAAGAAAUUAUCAAAUAUGACAAUAUUUUUUCUAAUUUUCAAAGAAUUAUCAAAUAUGACACUAAAUUUUCAAAAUAACACUAAAUUUCUUUCUAUUUUGGAUUUAAAAGUGAGUAGUAAAACUAAAAUUAUCAAAUAUGACAAUAUUUUUUCUAUUUUUCAAAGAAUUUCGAAAGCAUUAUAUUUAAUUAAAAACACUUGGCUGAUAAAUAAAUAAACUGAAAACAUGGGAAUUCUGGAGAGCUACGAAACGGAGAUAAGAAUAUAAUUAAGGAAAAUGAAAGUGAAAGCCAAGGAAUGAGCAUCAUCACCUCCUAGAAGUAUCUAACCCACCUCGCUGAAGUUUGCUAUAAAUACCUAACAAUUUCCCUUGAGUUCAUCAAUGCUUGAGUUUGAAUCUUAUCAAUCACAGUAGUAGCAAUGGCAGACGAGAUUAUCUUGUUGGAUUUCUGGCCUAGCCCGUUUGGUAUGAGGGUCAGAGUUGCCCUGGCAGAGAAGGGUCUCAAGUAUGAAUAUAGAGAGGAGGACCCGAGGAACAAGAACCCUCUGCUUCUUGAGAUGAACCCCGUUCAUAAGAAAAUCCCAGUUCUGAUCCACAAUGGAAAGCCCAUUUGUGAGUCUAUGAUAAUAGUUCAGUAUAUUGAUGAGGUUUGGAACAAAAAAUCUCCGUUGUUGCCUAGUGACCCAUACCAGAGAGCUCAGGCCAGGUUCUGGGCGGACUACAUAGACAAGAAGGUAUGCCUUUUCUGUUGAUUUAAAGCAUUCUUUUCCAUUGAUUCAUGGCGAUUGACUCACAUUUUGAUUAUGGUGAGGGAUUUAUCCAAAAUGCUAGUUCUUCACAUAUUCUCUUCUGAUAUUGAGUUUUGUUGGCUUUGGUGUCCCAAACUAGAACUUUACUGAUUCUCUUGCUGUUUCUUCAACAAGACUCCCCUCUGCAUUUCUGAUAUGGGUUUUUAUUUCUUUGUUCUGUUGAAUCCGACGUCUGUUCGUUCCAUCCAAAAAAGCAGAUCUCAAGAAUACCUUUUCCCCCAAGAAAGGGAAUACAUAAACCAGAAUUUUAAAGAACAGAUUUUGGUUUUUCGUUAUCCUGCUGUUCAACAUUUUGCACAACAGUUGUUUUAAUAUAUGUUCUGUCUUUUUGAUCUCUUUCUUCUCAUUUCUUUAACACAAAUUGAGGGGAAAAACUUUAGCAAAUGAUACAUUCUUUCAACUGAUUCUGAUAUUUUUCCUAGGAUACGAGAUUUCUAUGCCGAAGGGUCGUUAAUAAACUUGCCCAACUAUACAGAAAGUUUGAAACUUGAUGAAAUGCUUCCAAAAGAAAAAAAAAAAACCCUUUUCUCUCUUUGACUCCAUUACUUUCCACAGCUCUAUGAACUUGGAAGGAGGAUAUGGUCAACCAAAGGAGAAGAGCAGGAAACAGCCAAGAAUGAAUUCAUAGAGUACCUUAAGAUUUUGGAAGGAGAGCUUGGAGAGAAGCCUUACUUCGGUGGUGAGAAAUUUGGGUUUGUGGAUGUGGCUCUGGUGACUUUCUCAACCUUGUUUUAUGCGUAUGAGAGCUUUGGUAACUUCAGCAUAGAGGUGGAGUGCCCCAAGUUGAUCGCUUGGACCAAGAGGUGCAUGGAAAAGGAGAGUGUGUCGUCUUCUCUGAAAGACCCACAGAAGGUCCAUGGCUUUGUCAUGGAGAU